UUAGCUUCCGAGACCGCCAUCUUCAUUUCCUUCCUCGCCACCUUAUAGCUCUCCCUAUUCGCUCUCAUUUCCUCCUUACUUGUGCUCCCUGCCAACUUGGCGAACGCCGCUUUCUUCGCCUCCACUUUUCUUUGAACAAUAUCGUUCCACCACCAGUCACCUAGAUGUCUGCCUGAAUAGAUCUUGGCUACCUCGAGCACAUCUCGCGCUGCCUCCCUAACCAGUUUUACCGUCUAAGACCACAUUGCAUCCGCUUCGCCAGAACUCCUCCAAGCUCCACCAUGAGCUAACCUCCUCUCCAGCUCCUGGGCUUUCUCCUUAGACAAAGCUCCCUAUCUAAUUCGCGGUCGGCCCCGGGCACCCUUCAUCUUCCUCUUCACCCAGAGACCGACGUCCAUCACUAGGAGUCUAUGAAGAGUCAAAAGGGACUCUCCCGGAAUAACCUAUCACAACUCUUCUAAUAAUUUCCUAUAAAUUCUGAGGCAUGGCUUCAUUUUUAAUACACUGAAAAAUUACAGAACUUCCUUCUUUAUGAAAAUACUGUAUUCUAAUUUGCAGUCUUUCUCUCUCAAAAUUAUAAGUGUGAUUUUGCUCUAUUCUUUAGUUCGUUGGUAUCUUGCAGUUUGUAUUGCCACUGUUGCAGGAAGGUUUAUUCUGUUACAUCCUGGGAGGAUUUAAUCCAUUAUCUUGGCAACAUAUGAGGGGGUUAAAAUUCCUUAAGGACCAAGAAAAUUGUGGACUUGGAAUAUUACUUAUUCUUUACUGUUUUCCAGUUUUGUUUAUGCUUCUAACAGUUUUCUGAUUUGGUGUUUUAACACAGUAACGUUCACAAGCUUAAGGAAUUUUAUACUACCGUUUCUGUGUUGAAAUGUACAUUUAACUAUUAUCUAUAUUUUGUAUACUGCUUUGGAUACAAAAGAAUUCGUGCUUUCAAUUCCAAUAAUUAUUCUGUCGAGUUUAAAGUAUAUAAAAACUUUGCCGGAGUAAUAAAUGUAUGGGUUUGAAGUAUAUAAAAACUUCACCAUUAUUACGUGUUGUAUGUCUAGAGGAAUAAAUUUACAUGAACCAACCUGAAGGGUUUGUGGUUCUGGAAAAAGAAAAGAAAGUGUGUCGACUUGUUAAGUCCCUUUAUGGACUAAAACAAGCACCCAAGCAAUGGCAUGCGUAAUUUGACCAAAUAAUGUUGUCAAAUGGCUUUAAGAUUAAUGAAUGUUAUAAAUGUAUUUACAUUAAGAACGUUCCAAAUCAUAUAGUCAUUGUUUGCUUAUAUGUUGAUGAUAUGCUAAUAAUGAGCAAAAACAUUGCCGACACUCGAGCUACUAAGCUUAUGCUUGCUAGUAAGUUUGAUAUGAAAGACAUAGGAGUUGCCGAUGUAAUCCUAGGAAUUAAAAUCCAGAGGACUCCUUAGGUUCUAGCUUUGUCUCAAUCACAUUACCUGAAAAUGAUACUUGAAAAAUUCAAACACUUGGAAUUAAGAAGUGCCAGAACUCCAAUUAACAUAAACAAUCAUCUUAUAAAGAAUAAAGGUGAAAGUACGUCUCAAUUGGAGUAUGCUCGUAUGUUGGGAAGCUUGAUGUACAUCAUGAACUGUACACGACUUGAUAUAGCUUGUGCAAUAAGUAAACUUAAUUGGUUUACAAGUAAUCCCAUCAAACAUUAUUGGGUGGCAAUGAAACGAGUUUUGGGAUAUUUGGAGGAUACCCAAGACUACGCUUUGCACUGCAAUAAAUAUUUUGCAGUUAUCGAAGGAUAUAGUUAUGCAAAUUGGAUAACCGGCUCAAUAGAAACAAAGUCCACAAGUGGAUAUGUUUUUACUGUGGGUGGAGGAGCAGUAUCUUGGAAGUCUUCCAAACAUACGUGUAUCGCUUGCUCUACAAUAGAUCGGAGUUUAUAGCUUUGGAUAAAGCCGGUGAAGAAGCUGAAUGGCUUCGAAAUAUUUAGAAGAUAUUCUGUUCUGGCCAAAAGCUUGGGCUCCUAUUUGCACACAUUAUGACAGUGAGGUUGCAAUAAGACGGGCAAGGAGCAUUAUGUAUAACGAAAAGUCUUGUCAUAUACGACGAAGACAUAACACUGUAAGACAACUACUUUCUAAUGGAAUUAUCACUAUUGAUUAUGUAAGAUCAAAGGAUAAUGUGGCGGAUCCGCUUACAAAAGGCUUAACUAGAGAGGGAGUUGAGAAAUCAUCUAAGGAAAUGAGAUUAUGGCAACGGACAAGUCAACAUGGCAGUAACUCUACCUAGAAUUUUGGAUGUUCCGAGAUCUAGGUUCAAGGAGCUCAAACAAAGUUGAGAUUGAACGGUUGAACAUUAUCAAAGUAAAAUCUUCUGUCCCUUCUCGUGAUGAAGACAAUGUUCAGUAACAAGGAUAGAAGUAUACACGCACUUUAAUGAUUACCUAAGUUUGAUGAGGUAUUUAUCAAAUAGUGUCAAUCUAAAGGAUUACACGUUCAGGAAUCACCUAUGUAAGUGUAAAGUGGAAGCCGCUUCAAUGAGAAUUCUUUAAGGCCAAUUCUCUACGCACUUAUGAAAUCAUGUGGUAUUCAUGGAUAAGACGAACACAAAAAUGAGAACCAAAAGACGGUUAAGGGUUGGUUGUGAGACAAAUGGUUGUCUAGGUAUACACUAAAGUUAGAUGGUUCAAAUAUAUCAAAUCAACAGAUGGACCGAGUAUACCCGACAUAUGUUCACUACGGAAAGUUCAAAGGGAAACAUACUUAUCCAGAUGCAAUCAAUCCUUACUUCCAAAUCACACAACUUUUAUCUAUGAUCUUUUUUAAUACAUCCAUUCUCAUUCAUGUAGGGGAUUGUUGGACUUUAAAGCAUUGGUCUUCAAAGACUUUAAUCAUUGAGCUUUAAAGUAUAAGAGUGGGAAUUAGAAAUGAAGAAAAAUGAAAAUCUGAAUAAAGUGAGCUUUUGUCUUGCACUUUGUCCCUCAUUGGUGAUGACAACUACAUUUGUGUGUGUGUAUAUACAUACAUAUAUAUAUAUAGUCACUUCCUAAAGCUCUUAAAAGAAGUUAAAGAGAAUGAACCAUCGCGUCGUCGUCGUCGUCGUCGCUCGGCUCGGCUUCGGCUUUGGAUUUGGAUUUGGAUUUUGAUUUGUCAAAUGAUCGACCGAUAAAAUUAUUUUUCAACAAAUUUAUUUAAUUAAUUAUUUAAUAUUUAAUUAAUUGUCAGUUAGUUAGCCGCUGUCCGGGCGUGACUGCGGUAGGACCACGCCAGAACACUGCUGCAGAUUCUAUCUGAAGGCCACUCUGGCCGCGAUCCUGGCGUAACCGCGGUAGAACUGCGGUAGAUUUUGUCUGAAGGUCACUCUGGCCGUGGUUCUGGUGUAACCGCGGUAGGACCAUGGCGAGAUACCUUUGUAGAACAGACACCUUUUUUCCAAAACAAACAUCACGCCUCUUCUAAUAAUUUGCUAUUAAUUCUGAGGCAUGGCUUCGUUUUUAAUACACUGAAAAAUAACAGAACUUUCUUUUCUCUAAAAAUAUUACAUUCUAAUUAGCAGUCUCUCUCUCUCUCUCAAAUUUGUAAGUGUGAUUUUGCUCCGUUAUUUGAGUUAGUUGGUAUCCUGCAGUUUGUAUUACCACUGUUGCAGGAAGUUUUAUUCCGUUUUAUCCUGGGGGAAUUUAAUGCAUUACCUUGGCAACGCGUGAGGGGGUUAAAAUUUCUUAAGGACACACAAACAAAUUGGUGGAGGAGGUAAUCCAUUACCUUGGUAUACUGCUACUGCUGCUGCUGCUAGUGCUACUGAUGCUGCUGCUACUGCUGCUACUGCUACUGCUGCUCCUGCUACUGCUACUGCUGCUACUACUACUACUACUACUACUGCUAUUGCUACUGCUACUGCUACUGCUACUGCUACUGCUACUGCUACUGCUACUGCUGUUGCUGCUACUGCUACUGCUGUUGCUGCUACUGCUACUGCUGUUGCUGCUACUGCUACUGCUGCUGCUGCUAUUGCUACUGCUGUUGCUACUGCUACUACCUACUACUACUGCUGCUACUGCUGCUACUGCUGCUGCUCCUACUGCUACUGCUGCUGCUACUGCUGCUACUACCUACUGCUACUGCUACUGCUACUACUACCUACUGCUACUGCUACUGCUACUGCUCCUACUGCUACUGCUACUGCUACUGCUACUGCUCCUACUGUUACUGCUACUGCUAUUGCUGCUGCUACUGCUACUGCUACUCCUACUGCUACUGCUACUGCUACUGCUACUACUACUAUUACUGCUAUUACUACUGCAACUACUACUACUAUUACUAUUACUAUUACUACUACUACUGCUGCUACUGCUACUGCUACUGCUGCUACUGCUCUUGCUACUGCUACUGCUAUUGCUAGUGCUAGUGCUACUGCUAUUACUUUUCAUUGAAUUCUGUUUCUCCGAGGCUUUGAUAACCUCAUUUAUCAUCACCUCAAUUUUUGCGUGCGCCUUCCGGACGCGUAGCCGGAAAGCGUAAAUAUAAAAUUUUGUGAAAAAUGAUAAGUUUUUAUUAUAAAAUGAAAAAAUUUUACUUCGAUCAAUAUUUUAGGGGAACAGAACUUAUAUAUGAAUUAAGAAGUUUCUGUAAAAUUUGGUGAAAAAAUGAAUGUCGUUUGACAUGAUUCGGACCUAAGUUGCUAAAUUUGAUACUUGAUGAAGUUUGAGAAAAAAUCUUGAUUUUGAGGUUUGGUUCAUUGUUAUUGAGGUCAUUUUGGUAAUUUGUUUGCAUUGUUAAGUUUGUCUGAUGUUGUUGGGUUAGUACGUGUAUUUUGUUAGGAGCCCCGAGGGCUCGGGUGUGAUUCAGAUGUGUUUCGGAAAAUUUUCAACUUAGGAACAAGUUGGAAAAAAUCUGCUACAAGUGCUCAGGCCUGUUGUUCAUUGUGAUCACGUAGUCACUCUAACGAUAGCGUAAGGUAAAUAGGGACAGGGGCGAAUUUGUUAAUUGUGAAUGCGAAGCCACUGUUGCGAACGCGGAGCUUUGGGGUAUUUCUCAUCACGAACGCGUUCUGUGUGACGCGAACGUGUAGUAUUAUUGGAGGGGGCUGGGAUUUUGGUUGUUCUUCUACGCGAAUGCAUACGUGUGUCCGUGAACGCAAAGGUCAGGGGGUUCAACCCUUAGUGAAUGCAUCGAGGAACUCGCGAUCGUGUAAGUCACUUACUGGCAACCUUCGCGAUAGCGACAGUGUUCUCGCAAAUGCGAUGAACACUGUUGCUCAGCACUUAAAACAUUAGCUAAAACGAGAUUUGUUCAAAAAAUCAUAACUUCAUCUCAAAUCCAUAUUGGGUGAUUUUUGAAAGAGGAUUUCACCAUAAAGUCAUAGGUACGUUAUCUUAGACUGAUUUUCUUCAAUUUUCAUUAACACCCAUUAGAUUUCUAGGCCUAAAUCAUGUGAUAAGCGUAUAAAAUUAGGAAUUUGGGUAGAGUUAGGGCUUUUUGAUUAAUUAUGAUUUAGACCUUGUUUUACGGUCAAAUUCUGAAAAUAAUUAUAUAUUCGGGUGGGUGAUGGGUGAUUUGAUUUUGGUACGAACCUCGUAUUUUUACCAAGCGCGCCCAGGGUUGAUUUUUGUAUUUUUUGGAAGAAUGAUUGAAAAGCUAUGAUUAGGCAUUGGAUUUGAAUUCUUUAGCAGUUGUUGAUAUUAUGAAGUCAUUUAUGUAUAGAUACAAGUUUUGGAGCUGAAUUCGAGAGAAAAUGCAGUAUUUGGUGAUUGAGUUGGUCGUGGAAGUUUGAGGUAAGUGUUAGGUCUAACUUUGGCUUGAGGGAUUAGGAGUUGAGUCUUAUUUGCUAUUUGCUUCCUGUUGAGUAUGACGUAUAGACAUGGUGACGAGUAUCUAUACGUUGGUAUCGAACAUGACCGUGAGUCUUAAAUUAAUACUUGUUGUAUUCUUGAAUAAUACUAUGGUUUCAAUAGUAAGUAAAUCCCUUGUAUUGAGCAAAGACUUAGUUUAUUUAUCGUGGAAUCUAUUUGUGAUUGAGAAAUGGUGAUAAUUGGGACGAUUAGGAGUUUAGUUGAAAUUGGUUAUAGGUGAUUCUCCCUUGCAUGUAUGUAUAUACUUGUAUUGUUGAGUUCCUUUGCCGGGAUAGUAUAAUUUAUUUUGAUCCCUUGUCGGGACUGUUGUUAUGAUCAUUGUAAGCUGUAAAUUUGAAACGGUUUGCGUGCAUAUGUAUAUAUAUAUAUAUAUAUACAUAUAUAUAUAUGUAUAUAUAUAUAUAUAUAUAUAUAUAUAUAUAUCGGACUACACACCAUAACAGAUAUUAUGUUAGAUCAAGUUGCAUGCCGUAAGAGAUAAUAUAUUGGAUCGGAUUGCACGACGAACAAUUAUUAUAUUGAAUCGGGUUGCACGCCUCAUCAGCUAUAUAUAUGUAUAUAUAGGAUCGGGUUGCAUGCCGCCACAGUAUUAAAUAAUAAAAGAUCGGGUUGCGUGCCGCAACAGUAGUUUUAUCGUAUUGUUGUAAAUAUUGUAAUGUUCUUCCAAAUAUCUAUUCGAUUUCUACUAGGUUGAUAUGUUCCCUGAAGCAUGUACCUCCUCCCUUUUAUACUAUUAUUUCCUGUUUAUUUUUCCGUUGUAUAUUAAAUAACUACAUAGGUUUUAUCUGGAGUCUGGUCCUAGACUCGUCACUACCUCGCUGGGAUUAGGACAUAUACUUAUCAGCACUUGGGGUCGGUUGUACUGAUGCUACACUCUGCACUUAUGUGCAGACACCCGAGCAACACUUGAUCAGCAGCAGUAGCGCAGGAGCCAGCCUUCAAUCCACCGAGAUACCGAGGUAUCCUUGCAGGCAUUCGCAGGUCCGGUAUCUCCUCUAUCUUAUAUUAUGUUCUGUUAGCUCGUGUAUUUGAGACAAACAUUGUUAUCUUUCCUUCAACUGUUGUAUGUAGUACUCUUAGUAACCUGUGGAUGUUGUGACAUAUGGUUUUGGUUAGAGGCAUGUGUUGAUAUUUGAGAUAUUUUGGUUUUAUAUUCAUUUAAUACUUUCGCUAAAUUUUAUAUUCUGCUAUUAUUUAAAUGUUUAUCACUUGUUAAUGUAACUUGUAAGAAGAUUUAAAACAAACGAGUUAAUGAUUUCUAAGUUCAUGGCUUGCCUAGCUUCUACGAUGAGGCACCAUCACGACUCCCGAGGGUGGAAAUUUCGUGUUGUGACAAGUUGGUCUCAGAGCUCUAGGUUACAUAAGUCUCACAAUUCACGAAUAAGCUCAGUAGAGUCUGAGGGAUCGGUACGAAGAUGUUUGUAUAUAUAUCCCUAGAGGCUAAAAAGUUAGAAAAAACUUCACACUUGUUCUUUCUUGUCAUGCAGUUUUGUUUCUCAAUGCUAAUUGAAUUUCUACUAUGUUCUUUCGCAGAUGGCCAGAACACGCGUUUCCUCAUCUAUCGCUCAGCAGCCCGAUCCCCCAGUUGCAGCUUCCACAAAGGGCCGAGGGCGAGGGCAAGGCCGUGCUAGUGGCCGGGGUAGGGGCAUAGCUCAGCUCCGAGCAGCAGAACCAGUGGCUGAGCGUCAAAGUUGAUUUUGAUGAGAAGGUUCCGACCCCGGCAGUUUCGGUAGGCCCAGCUCAGGUCCCAGAUGGGUUUAUUGCUACCCUAGUUCUUCUGGAUGCUCUGUUCGAUUAGUGGGCCUUAUGGAGAGUGACACACAAGCAGGCUUACUUCCUGUAGCACCAACCGUCUCUCAGGCUAGAGAAGGGGAUAAGACUCUUGCUAUUCGCUCUUCGGAGCAGGUAGCUCCCCAGAUUUAGACUCCAGCAGUUCAUCCAGUUGGAGCAGUUCAGCCGGGUGUGGUAGCUCAGACCGGCGAGGGAGCAGCUAUUUUUGUCGAUGAUUUGUGGAGGCUGGAUAGGUUCACCAAACUCUUUACUUCUACUUUCAGAGGUGCAUCUACUGAGGAUACCCAGGAUUAUCUAGACAGUUUCCAAGAGGUUCUCAGGGACAUGGGUAUUGUUGAGACCAAUGGGGUCGAAUUUGCUACAUUUUGCCUAUUUGGAUCCACCAAGACAUGGUGGAGGGAUUAUUGCUUAGCUAGGCCAGCCGGAUCGCCAUCUUUGACUUGGUAACAGUUCAAACAGCUAUUUCUGGAGAAGUUUCUCCACUACUCAGAGAGAGGCCUAUCAGAGUCAGUUUGAGCGCCUCCAGCAGGGUUCCAUGACGGUUACCCAGUAUGAUACCAGGUUCAUCGACUUAGCUCGCCAUGCUCUUGUCAUACUUCCUAUCGAGAGAGAGAGAGAGAGAGAGAGAGAGAGAGAGAGAGAGAGACAGAGGUUUAUUGAUAGUCUUAUUCAGCCGAUUCAUCUUCAGAUGAUCAGGGAGGCUGGGAGUGAGAUCACUUUUCAGGAGGCGGCCAAUGUGGCCCGCAGAGUUGAGAUGGUUCUGUCAUAGAGAGGUGGUCAUGGGUCAGAUAAGAGACCCCGACAUUCAGAUAGAUUCUAUGGUGCCUCGUCUAGAGCCAGAGAUUUAUAUGGUAGAGGCCAUCCUACUAGGGCCUUUCAGUCAGCUCCUCAGGCCUCUCACAGUGCUUCAGGUGGCCGUGGUUCUCGCAUGCCCUACAUUGCACCAACAUCUCCUAUCAAUGCACCACCACCCCAAAGUUUUCAGGGUGGUUAUUCUGGUUACCAGGGUCAGUCUCAGUUACCUUAGCCGCAGUAUUCAGGUGGGAGUUAUGAGUAUGGUGAGUAUGGUCAUAUUCGGAGGGCUUGUCCGAGGUUGGUGGGUACUUAGUCGCAGCAGCAGGGUUCCCGUGCUAUGAUUUAGGUACGAUAUGUUCCACAGACAACCCAGCUAGCUAGGGGCGGGGGUAGAGAUGUUAGAGGUGGAGCUCAGACUGGCAGAGGUGGAGGCCAACCAGCUGCAUGCUGUUCUGGGGAGGUAGUCCAACGUAGUAUGGCCCAACCCCGAUGUUAUGACCUUCCAGCCAGGCUCGAGGCUGAGGCUUCAGAUGCGGUGAUCAUAAGUACAGUUCUGGUUUUUGAAAGAUGCUUCAGUGUUAUUUGAUCCAGGGUCUACAUACUUAUAUGUUUCAUCUUAUUUUGCACUAUAUCUUGUCAUGCCUAGUGAUUCAUUGAGUGUCCCUGUUUAUGUGUCUACAUCGGUGGAUGAUUCUAUUGUGGUUGAUCGAGUCCGUCGUUCUUAUAUUGUGGUGAUUGGGGGUCUUGAGACUCGUGUAGAUUUGUUGCUUUUAGACAUGCUCUAUUUCAAUUUUAUAUUAGGGAUGAAUUGAUUAUCACCUUACCAUGCUAUCUUGGAUUGCCAUGCGAAGACUGUGACAUUAACUUUACCGGUUAUGCCUCGUUUAGAGUGGAAAGGGACUCAUGGUCAUUCUACCCGCAAUGUUAUCUCGUAUGUGAAGGCUCAGCGCAUGGUCGAGAAGGGGUGUUUGGCCUAUUUGGCGUAUGUUCGUGAUUCUAGUGUGAGGUUCCCUUUAUUGAUUCUAUACCCGUUGUUCGUGAGUUUCCUAAGGUAUUCCCUUCAAACCUGUCAGGGAUGCCACCCGAUAGGGAUAUUGACUUCUGCACUGAAUUGGCUCCGGGCACUCAGCCCAUUUCUAUCUCAUCGUAUCUCAUAGCCUCACCGACGUUAAAGAGUUGAAGGAUUAUUUACAAGAUUUGCUUGAGAAGGGUUUCAUUAGACCGAGUGUUUCGCCUUGGGGUGCGUCGGUGUUGUUUGUUAUGAAAAAGGAUGGUUCGAUGAGAAUGCGUAUUGAUUACCGACAGUUGAACAAGGUUACAAUCAAGAAUAAAUAUCCAUUACCGAGGAUUGAUGAUUUGUUCGAUCAGCUUUAGGGUGACAAGGUAUUUCAAAGAUUAAUUUGAGAUCUGGCGACCAUCAGUUGAGGAUUAGGGCAUCCAAUGUCCCUAAGACAGCUUUCCACACUCGGUACGGGCAUUAUGAGUUCUUGGUUAUGUCAUUUGGGUUGACCAAUGGCCUAGUAGCUUUAAUGGGCUUGAUGAACUGAGUGUUCAGUCCUUAUUUGGACUCGUUCGUGAUAGUCUUCAUUGAUGGUAUUUUGAUAUAUUCCCGCAGGCAGGAGGAGCAUGAGCAGCAUCUCAGAGUGGUUCUUCAAACUCUGAAGGAUAUUUAGUUAUAUGUUAAGUUCUUGAAAUGUGAGUUAUGGUUAAGUUCGGUUGCAUUUAUGGGUCAUGUUGUAUCAACAGAGGUUGUUCAGGUUGAUCCGAAGAAGAUAGAGGCAAUGAAGAUUUGGCCUAGACCGGCAUCAACUACAGAGAUUUGGAGUGUCCUGGGAUUGGCAUGCUACUAUCAUCGAUCCGUGGAGGGGUUAACAUUUAUCGCAGCCUCGAUGACCAGGUUGACCUAGAAGGGUGCCUAGUUCAGAUAGACUGAUGAGUGUGAGGUGAGCUUUUAGAAGCUCAGGACAGCUCUAACUACGGCACCGGUGUUGCUUUUGUCCAUAGGUUCAGGGCCUUAUAUAGUUUGUUGUGAUGCAUCUCGUAUUCGGCUUGGUGUAGUGUUGAUGCAGGAUGGUAAGUCAUUGCCUAUUCUUUGCGGCAAUUGAAGAUUCAUGAAAAGAACUAUCUUAUUCAUAAUUUGGAGUUGGCAACCAUUGUUCACACAUUGAAGAUUUGGAGGCAUUAUCUGUAUGGCGUGGCAUGUGUAGUGUUCACGGGUCAUAAGAGUCUUCAGUAUUUGUUCAAGAAAAAGGAGUUGAAUUUGAGGCAAAGGAGGUGGUUGGAAUUGUUAAAGGAUUAUGAUAUCAUUGUCUUAUAUCAUUCGAGGAAAGACAAUGUGGUGGCCGAUGCUUUGGGUAGGAAGUCAGUCAGUAUGGUCAAUCUUGCUUAUACUACGGUCGAUGAGAGUCCGCUUGCUUUGGAUGUUCAGGCUUUGGCCAAUCAGUUUGUGAGGUUGGAUAUUUCUGAGCCUAGUCAUGUAGUAGCUUGCACGGUCGCUCGUUCUUCUUUAUGGGAGCGUAUCCAUGAUCGACAGUAUGAAGAUCCCCAUUUGUGUGUCCUUAGAGACACGAUGCAGCACGGAGGUGCCAAGCAGGUUACCUUAUAUGAUGAUGGAGCUUUGAGAUUGCAGGGUCGAGUAUGUGUGCCUAAUGUAGAUUGGCUUCAAGAGUUGAUCUUAGUGGAGGCCCAUAGUUUCCGAUACUCUACUCAUUCGGGCACCACGAAGAUGUAUCAGGAUUUGCGGUAGCACUAUUGGUGGCAUAGAAUGAAUAGGUAUAUCGUUGCAUAUGUGGCUCGGUGUUUGAAUUGUCAGCAGGAUAAGUAUGAGCAUCAGAGUCCUGGUGGAUUGUUUCAGACGAUUGAGCUUCCCGGGUGGAAGUGGGAGCGGAUCAUUAUGGAUUUUGUUGUUGGAAUCCCACAUACUCGAAGGAAGUUCGACACAGUUUGGGUGUAGGCUGACCAAGUCAGCGCAUUUCCCUCCUAUGGCGGUAUCCUAUUCAUCCGAGAGGUAAGCUGAGGUCUACAUCCAGGAGAUUAUUCGUCUUCACGAUGUGCCUGUGUCUAUCAUUUCAGACCGAGGUACGCAUUUUACCUCGCGUUUGUGGAGAGAAAUUCAGCGAGAGUUGGUCACUCAGGUUGAGUUGAGUACAACAUUUCAUCCCCAGACGCACGGGCAGUCCGAGCGGACAAUUCAGAUUUUGGAGGAUAUGCUCCGAGCUUGUGUCAUUGACUUUGGAGGCUCGUGGGAUCAGUUGUUUCCUUUAGCAGAGUUUGCCUACAACAACAGCUACUAGUCGAGUACCUAGAUGGCUCCUUAUGAGGCUUUAUAUGGUAAGCGUUGUCGGUCUCUGGUUGGAUGGUUUGAGCCGGGGGAGGCUCGAUUGUUGGGUAUGGAUCUGGUUUAGGUGGCCUUGGACAAGGUCAGGAUUAUUCGUGAUAGGCUUCGUACAGCUCAGUCCAGGCAAAAGAGGGAUACAGAUCGCAAGGUUCGAGAUAUGGCUUUUAUGGUUGGUAAGCGGGUGUUACUUCGAGUGUUGCCUAUGAAGGAUGUGAUGAGAUUUGGGAGGAAGAACAUGCUUAGCCCUAGGUUCAUUGGUCCAUUUGAGAUUAUUGAUCGAGUGGGGGAGGUGGCAUAUAGACUUGCAUUGCCACCGAGCUUAUCAGCUUUGCAUCUAGUGUUUCAUGUGUCCAUGCUUCAGAAGUAUCACGGCGAUCCAUCUUACGUGUUAGAUUUCAGCACUGUCCAGUUGGACAUGGACUUGUCGUACGAGGAGAGCGGUAGCCAUUCUAGACUGUCAGGUUUGCCAGUUGAGGUCGAAGAGUUUUUCUUAUAUUCAUGUUCAGUGAAAAGGCCAGCCCCUUGAGGCAUUGACCUGGGAGUCCGAGUCAGAUAUGCGGAGCCAUCCUCAUCUUUUCCCCCGACUUAGGUACUUCCUUCUUCUGUUCGUUCGAGGAUGCACAGUUGUUUAAGAGGUGGAGAAUGUGACGUCCCAAAGGUUCAUCACUUCCUUUUAAUUGAAUUCUGUGUCUCAGAGGCUUUGAAAAUCUCAUUUAUCAUCCCCUCGAUUUGGAUGCGCAGCCCAGGCGCGUAGCCGGAAAGCUUAAAUAUGAAAUUCUGUCAAAAAUGAUAGGUUUUGAUUAUAAAAUGAGAAAAUUUGACUUCGGUCAAUAUUUUGGGUAAAUGGACCCGGACCCGUAAUUCGACGGUCCUGGACAGUCCGUAGGAAAAUAUAAGGACUUGGGCGUAUACUCAAAAUCGAAUUUCGAUGUCCCAAGCCCGAGAAAUAAUUUUUUUAAGAAAAUUGUUUUUUGGUGAAAAAACGGACGUCGUUUGACCUAAUUCAGACCUAAAUUGCUAAAUUUGAUAAUUGUUGAAGUUUGAGAAAAAAUCUUAUUGGCAGCCUUUGCGAUCGCGAUCGCAUAAGUCCACUAACUGGUAGCCUCCGCGAUCACGAUAAUUUUGUCACGAACGCGAUGAACACUGUCGCCCAACACUUAAAAUAGUAGCUAAAACGGGAUUUGUUCAAAAAUUCAUAACUUCUUCAUCUUAACUCCAAAUUGGGCGAUUUUUUAAAGAGGAUUUCACCACUAACGCAUAGUUAUGUAAUAUUAGACUCAUUUUAUUCAAUUUUCAUUAACAUCCAUUAGAUUUCUAGGCCUAAAUCAUGUUAAUAAGGGUAGAAAAUUAGGGAUUUGGAUAGAGUUAGGGCUUUUGAUUAAUUGUGGUGUAGACCUCAUUUUGGGGUCAAAUUCUGAAAAUAAUUAUAUAUUUCGGUUCGUGGGUGAAUGGGUGAUUUGAUUUUGGUCCGAACCUCGUGUUUUGACCAAGCGGGCCCGGGAUCGAUUUUUGGGUUUUUGGGAGAAAGUAUCAGGAAGCUAUAAUUAGGCAUUGAAUUCGAAUUUUUUAGCAUUUAUUGAUGUUAUGAAGUUAUUUAUGUAUAGAUACAAUUGAUUUGGAGUCGAAUUCGAGAGGAAAGGCAGUAACUGAGGAUUGAGUUGGCCGUGGAGGUUUUAGGUAAUGUUCGAUCUAACCUUAGCUUGAGGGAUUAGGAGUUGAGUCAUAUUUGCUAUUUGCUUCUUGUUGAGUAUGACGUAUAGGAAUGGGGAUGAGUAUCUAUAUGUUGGUGUAUAACAUGACCGUGAGUCUUAAAUUGAUACUUGUUGUAUUCUUGAAUGAUAUUAUGGUUGCAAUAGUGAGUAAAUCCUUGGUAUUGAGCAAAGAUUUAGUUUAUUUAUUGUUGAAUCUACUUGUGAAUGAUAAAUAGUGAUAAUUAAGAUAUUAGGAGUUGAUUUGAGAUUGGUUAUAGUUGAUUCUCCUUUGCCGGAACGUAUAUCCUUGUAUUGUCGAGUUUCCUUGCUUGGAUAGUAUAGUUUAUUUUGAUCCCUUGCCGGGAAUGUUGUUAUAAUCAUUGUAAGCUGUAUAUAUGGAACGGAUUGUGCGCUGCAACAUUAUUAUUAUUAUUAUUAUUAUUAUUAUUAUUAUUAUUAUUAUUAUUAUUAUUAUUGUUAUUAUAUAUAUAUAUAUAUAUAUGUGUGUGUGUGUGUGUGUGUAUGUGUGUUGUGUGUGUGUGUGUGUGAUCGGGUUGCACGUUGCAACAGUGUUAAAUGAUAAGGGAUCGGGUUGAUCACCGCAACAAUAGUGUUAUUAUAUUGUUGUAGAUAUUGUACUGUUCUUUCAUAUGUCUAUUCGGUUUCUGCUUGGUUGAUAUGUUCCUCGAAGCAUUAAUUUUUAAACGGUUAUUUUCUGUUUAUAUUUCUGCUGUAUUGUCACGACCCAAACCUCGGUUGUGAUGGCGCCCAACACCUUGUUAGGCAAGCCUAACCAUUUAGACAAUUCCCAGCAAAAUAAUUAACUGAAAUUACCAAGUUUAGAAUGACAUUCUCAAUUUAAUACUAAUAAAACACUGCGAAAUCCGUAACCAAAAAUAACAAUAUCCCAAACGAUCUGGCAUCACAAGUCAGAGCCUCUAAGUACAACCGAACAGCAUCGUAAACAAAGAAAAACUAGCUACGAAAGCAAAAGAUAGAUAAGAGGAGAGAUCAAGUCAUGUGGACGCCAGCAGCUACCUUGAUAACUCCGGUACUGGACUGAGGAACAACAGAUAAUCGCAGCUAAGCUCCGGGAUCCCUGUAUCUAUACACAAGGUGCAGGGAGUAGAGUGAGUACUUCCAACUCAGUGAGUAAUAGCAAUAAAUAACAAUUGAAUGUAAGAAAUACGCUAAGAACACUAUAUAUUUCUAAUAUCAGCAGUAAAGGCAAUAAAUAAGUAUGAAACAUGGAAAAGAAACUGAUAAAUACUUCUCUUUCCGUCUGACAAGUUACUAACACUGCUCCGGCGCGCAACCCGAUCCAAUAUAAUAUAUAUAGUACUGAGGCACGCAGAUCCAAUAUACAUAUAUAUAGUACUGCGGUGCGCAGCCCGAUCCAAUAUACAUAGUCGACUGUGCUCACUGGGGGGUGUGCAGACUCUGGAGGGGCUCCUACAGCCCAAGCGCUACAAUACUGCGGCGUGCAGUCCGAUCCAUAUAAUAUAUCACUAGGUCGUGCAGUCCGGUCCAUAUAAUAUAUAUACUACUGCGACGUGCAAACCGAUCCAAUAAAUGUAUAUGUAUACACUGCUGCGGCGUGCGUCCCGAUCCUGUAUAUACCAAAUUCCCUCACCCUGGGGUCCUUGACCCCUCUUAGUCAAUAUAGAUUUGGCCUCUCGGGCCCACUCAGCUAAGACAGGGUAUUCAACCCUAGGUACUACUCAUUUAGGGUGCAAGUUACUACGUCCGGUUCAUUUCAUGAUUCACAGUUAAAGUCAGGUCAGAUAAUGGGUGUUCAAUAGGUAAAGUGAGGUCAAUCAACUCAACAUGCUCCUAAGCAUUCUACAUAUUGGCACUAGGCCCCAAACAUGGCAUCUAGCCCAAGAUAUACGGGUACAAGCUCAAUCUCAGUCAAAAAGUGCAGUAAGUCAUCAAUCGGAUGAACCAAGUCCGAGUCCCCAACAGUAACAUCACCACGCUCAUAACACUGCGCGUGUUUCCUCUCUACAUAGUACUGCAUAGUGCAAAUAUGGCGUUUCAAACCCUCAUUAUAUCAUUCAUAACUAUUACCCACCUCAAGCCGGCCAAACUCCUAGCUCGCCUUGCACUUUCCUCACAAAUCGACCUCCUCGAGUGCAGAAUCUGACCAAAAACACAAGGAAUGUGUUAUAAUAGGCUAAUAGGACAUAACCCAAUAGAAAGUACUCCAAAAGACCCAAAAACACAAAGUUGGCAACACUCGAGCCCCAGGCCCACUCUCGAAAAAUUACAAAAUUCACAUCACCUGAUUCCUCGUCUCGCCAUGAGUCCUUGCAUAUAAAGUUUACAAGAAUCGGGGUCCGUUUGACCUUCAAAUCACCACUUUACUCUCUCUUAGGUUUCAAGCCCUAACCACCACUUUUUUCCUUAAAAACCAUGAAUUUCAGUGUUUAAUCUACUAUUUUGAACCAUAUGGACAUAAUCCGAGCCCAAGAAUCGCCUAAGUUCGAGUUCAAAUAUUUUCUCCCUUCUCUUUUAAAAUUUGGAAUCACUGUACACAAAAACCAGGUUGAUUUCCGCUUACGCGGUCAACUGACCGCACCUGCGAUUACCGCUUAUGCGGCCACACGACCGCUUAUGCAGUCUCACUUAAAUCACACGGGACCGCUUUUGCGGUCAAAAUGCCGCUUCUGCAGUAACCGCAUAUGUGGUUACCAAACGGCUCCAGUGGUCCAAGUCGGCCCUCCCUCAGGCUGCUUAUGCGGAGAAUCGUCCGCAUUUGCAGAACCGCUUUUGUGGCUCCUCUUCCGCAGAUGCGAAAAUACCAUAAGUAAAACCUUGUUUUCAUGCAACAACUCCAAAAACCUCAGUUCAACCACCCGAAUUCACCGCGAGUCCCCCGGGACCUCAACCAAAAGCACAGACCAUACGUAAUACUUCAUUCAAACUUGCUCGAAUCAACCAAACGCUAACGUUGACAUCAAAAUCCUCAAUUAUUAUAAAUUCAAAGGCUAAUUUUCUUAAAAUCUUCUGAAUUGCGUAUUCGAUCAAAGUCCGACCUAAACACUUCCGAAUGAUCUGAAAAUUUACAUAUAUAUCAGAAAUCACCUAACGGAGCUAUUGCAACUGUCGGAAUUCCAUUCCGACCCCCGGAUCAAAAUCUCACCUAUCAACCGGAUUUCGCCAACAUUCAAACUUAGUCAAUUCAAAAAUAAUUCUACACUGGACCUCCAAAUUCAAUUCCGAUUUUACCCCUAAGUCAUAAAUCAGCACCCGAAACUAGCCAAAUCAUCGAAAAUCCAUUCCUAGCCCAAUAACUCAUAAGUCAACAUCCGGUUGACUUUUUCAAACCAACCUUCCCUUAAAGAGACUCUUUGUCUCAUUUUCAACCAAACUUUGUCCAAAUUUCUUCAAACUCUUCAAGCACACAUAAUGAAACAUAUAGAAGCAUAAAACGGGGAAACGGGAUGGUAACUCAUGUGACGACGGGCCGGCUCGUCACAUGUAUAUUAUAUAACUGCACAUGUUUUUUUAUCUGGAGUCUGGUCCUAGCUUCGUCACUACCUCACCGGGGUUAGGCCAGACACUUACCAUCACAUGUGUUCAGUUGUGAUGAUGCUACACUCUGCACUUAUGUGCACAUACCAGAGCAUCAUUUGAUCAGUAACACUAGCUCGUGAUCCAGCCUUCAGUCCACCGAGACACCUAGGUGGCCUUGCAUGCGUCCGCAGGCCCGGUGUCUCCUUUAUCUUAUAUAUUAUGUUCUGUUAUCUCAUGUAUUCGAGACAAAGAGUUUUAUCUUUCCUUCAACUGUUGUAUGUAAUACUCUUAGUAAUCCAUGGAGGUUGUGACACCAGGUUCUAGUUACACAUAUGUGUUGGUCUUUGAGAUAUUUUUGUUUUAUAUUAAUUUAAGACUCAUGUUCGAGACAAAGAGUUUUAUCUUUCCUUCAACUGUUGUAUGUAAUACUCUUAGUAAUCCAUGGAGGUUGUGACACCAGGUUCUAGUUACACAUAUGUGUUGGUCUUUGAGAUAUUUUUGUUUUAUAUUAAUUUAAGACUUCCGUUAAAUUUCAUAUUCCGCUGAUAUUUAAAUGUUUGUCACUUGUUAAUAUAACUUCUAAGAAGAUUUAAAACAAAAGAGUUAAUGAUAUAUGUUCAUGGCUUGCCUAGCUUUUACGAGUAGGCAUCAUCACGACUUCCGAGGGUGGGAAUUCCCGGGUCAUGAUAAUGUUAUAGUAAAGUUUUAAAGAAGAAAAUAGUUUUUUUGAAGAUAUAUUGUUUGAUUCGAUGUGGUGCUAUAAAAUAUUGCUUAUACUAUCUUCGAGUAAGCUUGCUAGAUUUAAAUUUUUGUCUGUAUUUGAAUAUUCAUCGUUGUUGGGCUUGAAACUCAAUUUUAUUUUUGAAUAUUUCUUGUUUGAGUCAAAGUGGAUGCUGUUAAAUAUUUCUUAUAGUACCUUUUGGACGUUAAUACUGAAAUUUGAUGGCAUUUGGACCUGAUUUGAGGUGAUUGAGAUCGCAUUUUUCAGUUAAAAAUCGAAGAAGAACACAUAUAAAGUAUACCGCUAUGGUAUACAAUAUGAUGUAGGAGUAUAUAGCUAUACUGCAACAGUGCACUAUUAUAGUUUACAGAACGGUAUACCGCCACAGUGUACUAAUAUACUAUAGGACUAUAUAGUCCCUUUUAAUUUGUCUUAAACUUUUAUCCAGCGUGACGGGCAAAUUGGAAAUGCUAUAUACAUACAUAUAUAUAUAUAUACAUAUAUAUAUAUAUAUAUAUAUCUNNNNNNNNNNNNNNNNNNNNNNNNNNNNNNNNNNNNNNNNNNNNNNNNNNNNNNNNNNNNNNNNNNNNNNNNNNNNNNNNNNNNNNNNNNNNNNNNNNNNNNNNNNNNNNNNNNNNNNNNNNNNNNNNNNAUAUAUAUAUAUAUAUAUAUAUAUAUAUAUAUAUAUAUAUAUAUAUAUAUAUGAUGUAACGGUAUACUCUUAUAAUUAGAUACUUUUAGAAUUUUUAAAAUUUAUUAUUGACAACAAAUAUUAUUUUAAUUUAAUAAUUAAACUAACUUUUUUAACUCAUUGCGUAUAAUUGUAUACCAUGUUGGUAUAGCUAUAUAUUAUACUAGUAUCAUAUGUUAGUUAAUAUUUUUUUAGUUGUAUUAGCUACAUUUAAUUGGUACGCAAUUUGAUUUUACUUUAGUAAUAAUAUAAAAAAAGAAUAAUAAAAAUAGUGAGAACAGUAAAUGAAAUUAGAUUAUGAAGAGAAACAGAAUAUAAAAAAAAGAAGUUAAAUGAAAUAAGAAAAAGAAAAAAGAAAAAAUAAGAAGAAAACGAGAAAAAUGAAAAGGAGAAAAGAAAGAAAAAGAUAAAAGAAAAGAAAAUAAGCAUAGAAAUAAAAAAGAAUUGGAGAAUAAAGAAAAAAUUCCCUACAAAACCUACUAUGGGUAGUGUAUAGGGUAAAGUUCGGCUCGUAAUGUCCCCACGCCAAGCAGGCACGUCCAUUAUGAUAAGGUCGACCCCAGUGAGGGCACGACCCAGUUGAUAAAGUAAAGGCGACGUCGUUUAGGGUCUUGCUUCUUUAAUACGAAGAAGUCACCUACUUUUGUACUUUUUCUCUAAUUAUUUCGAGGAAGGUCUCCUACUAUAUAAAUGAGACCUUCACCUUGUAAUAGGAUAUGUGUUUUUCUGAAUAAUACAACUCUUUUACUCUCUCUCUCUCUCUCUAUCUCUAACAUGCAUUCUCUCUCGUUCUAAAGUUCUUACUAGUUCUUCACACUUUCAUAUCUACAACAAUCUUAACACAAUAAUCAUCUCUAGGACUCAUUACAUUUGAUUACGAUUUACCCUUAUCCAUUUAAGAUUGUUUUUAAGCUUAUAAAGUGCAAAUAUAAAUUUUGAGCCAAACAAUUUGGCACCGUCUGUGAGGAUUUCGAGAAUAAAAAUCAUAGUUUGAACCUAGAGAACCAUCGAAAACCCUUCUCUACAACACACAAACAAAAGAUGGCUGACAACAAUGCAAGAAUAAAAGCAAUGGCAGAUGCCAGAACCGACCUUAUGGGUCCUCUCAAUGAAGCAGGUGUAAAGGAUGUCUUGAAUGCAACCCCUAGAACCAUAGUAAAUGGGGAGAUCCCACCUCCCUCGCCUGAAGACCUGGCUAUCUCAUGCGAAAAGAAGGCUUCUACAUCUGCAACUAAAGAGGCACCCCCAGAGGUUAGGAAACUACUGAAAGAAUGGUUAACGAGUACUCUAAGUGGAUUGGUUGAAAAGUCACCCCAAAACAACGUCAGAUGCGUGCCAACAGUAGACCUUGUUGCAGCUGAAGGUGAACCCGAGAUCGUACAAGCAAACAAUGUGCUCAUCGAUACUUGGGACAACAGUGGCACGCUCACAGCCAUCCUCAAGAAGAUGGAAGAAAUGGAAAACUAAAACAAGUCACUUCGUGACCAGAUGAGGGAACACCAGUAGAGGGUAGAAAAGAUACCUGGUGCUCCCAAGCUGCUGCCAAACCGUGACGUGGGGAGGUUUUUUGAACAACCUUACACAGAAGAGGUUUCACCGUACUUCAUCCCAAAAACCUUCCAAAUGCCUUCUUAUUUAAGAGCGUACGACGAAACUAUAGAUCCCGACGAUCACCUGAUCCACUAUGUCACGGCUGUAAAAGGUAACAGUCUGUCAAAAGAGCAGGUACCGUCCGUGAUGCUGAAGAAGUUUCGCAAAACACUGACAGGAGGAGCACUAAUCUGGUACUCCCAGCUUCCGGCCAAGAUCAUUUCUAUGUUCGAGUAAAUGGCGGACAAGUUUAUUACCGCCCAUGUAGGAGCAAAGAAAGCAGAAGCAAGAUUCAACGACAUCUUCGCUGUUCGUCAAACCACAAGAGAAGGACUCAGGGACUUCCUAGCCAGAUUUAAUAGAGUAAGGAUGAGCCUACCAAACAUGUCGGAAGGCAUGGUGGUCGGCGCUUCUUAGAACAAAUUCAACAAUGAUAGCUCAAGGGCAACCAAAAAACUACUAAGUCGUCUCAUGAAGUAUCCUACCAUCACAUGGGAAGAAAUCCACAACGCCUACUGUGCUGAGGUAUGUGUAGAUGAGGACGACCUCAAUGAUCUGACCUAAAAUUUAAUAACAAUACACCUAGAAAUCAAGAGGGAUAAACAGAACGAAGGAUGGCGGGAACAAGUCCCACGUCCCAAUAGGAAGAGGCGCCAACCUUAUGUCAGAUCUUCUCAUCCACCACCACCAAGGCACAUGAACUCACUACAUCGACAUGUCGCCCAACUACAAAAGGAUAGAGGUAUGUCUCCUUUAUUAUCUGCACAUAAUUUCUGUGUGCCCUUUGUCGGAAGGCAUGGCGGUCGCCGCUUUCCAAAACGGGUUAAGCAGGGGCGGCUUGAGGGCAACAAAAAAACUACUAAGUUGCCUCAUGAAGUAUCCUCCCACCACAUGGGACGAAAUCAGCAACGCCUACUGCGCUGAGGUACGUGCAGAUGAGGAUGACCUCAAUGGGCCGACCCAACGUUUAACAACAAUACACCCAGAAAUCAGGAGGGGCCGAUACAACGAAGGACGACGAGAACAAGUCCCACGUCCCAAUAGGGAGAUACACCAAACCAACAUCAGAUCCUCCCACCCACCGCCAACCAGGCAUACAGACGCACUACAACGACAUGUCGCUCCCCUACAAAGCGAUAGAGGUUUGCCACAUUUAUUAUCUUCCCAUAAAUUUUGUGUGUCCCCUUCAGAGAUACUGUACGCACUUGAGAAGCUGGGCAACAAGGUGAAAUGGCCAAAAAAGAUGACGUCAGACCCCGCCACAAAAUAUCAAACACCUUGUGCAAGUUCCACCAAGAACAAGGGCACAAAAUCGAAGAUUGCAUAGGCCUACGGCAAGAGGUGGUCAGGAUGUUGAACAAAGGGUUCCUGAGAGAGCAACUCAGUGACAAAGGAAAAAUCAACUUUGCUCGUGGACGGGAACAACCCCACAUGCUACCAAAUCCGCCUUCACCAACAUGCACAAUCAACAUGAUAAUCGGAGAUGGUGAUUACUUGGCGAUUAAUCACGUCAAAUUUAUCACUACGCACAAGCUGAAACGAACCAUUGCCCACAAACGGUACGAAGACUUCGAAGAUAGUAUCACCUUCGAUAAGUGCGAUACCGACGGUUUGUCUUUACCUCAUUACGAUGCCUUAGUUAUCACUUUAUGUAUCGUAGAUACGGAUGUCAAAAUAAUCAUAGUUGAUGAUGGUAGCAGCGCCUGUAUUAUCCACCCGAGGGUCCUCCUACUAAUGGGUCUCGAGGAUAAGAUAAUAUUGCGCUGCAUAACACUAACUGGUUUCAAUAAUGUAGUGGAACGAACCUUCGGGGAGAUAUCACUUCCCAUCCUAGCAGAAGGGGUCACGCUGGAAAAAACUUUCCACGUGAUGAACCAAGAAACGGUAUACAACGCCAUCAUCGGACGCCCAUGGAUACAUGCCAUGAAAGCGGCCCCAACGAGCUUCUAUCAAAUGAUCAAAUUUCCCACCCCAUGGGGAGUAUUCAACAUUCAAUGCGAGCAUCACACCACUCAGCAAUGCUAUAAAAUAGCUCAAGACUGUGUCCACACCAAACAGCUUAAAGGGGCGAGCACAGAGGCAUAUCAAUCAGGUAUGUCGGGGACUAAAGUCUAUCCGACAGAGAAUGCCAUCAGAGACGCUAAUAUCAUAGAAGCCUGCAAGUCCACGGUCGAAGACCUCGACCCAGUCUAACUGGACAACGAUGACCCUGAAAAGAAAGCCUACAUCGGUCACGGCCUCUCAAAUCCAAGUAAGCAUCAUGAAUUUUUAUCUAACCAUGCAGACCUGUUUGCUUUUCCCCAUUCAUAUAUGACAGGGAUCCCACGAGAAAUCGCCACUCACAAGCUGAAUGUCGACCCAUUACACCCGCCCGUGCGGCAAAUGAAAAGAAAAUUUAACGCCACUGUCAACGAAGCUGUCAUCGAGGAAGUAGAAGAAUGUCAGGCCAAUGGCUCCAUCAGGGAAUCAAAGUACCCUCAAUGCGUCACCAAUGUCGUCAUGAUCAAAAUAAAAAUGGGAAGUGGACAAUGUGUGUGGACUUCACCGACUUGAACAGGGCAUGCCCGAAAGAUUCUUUCCCACUACCCCACAUCGAUCAGUUGAUAAACGCGACCGCAUGGAAUGAGCUGCUAAGCUUCCUAGACGCAUACUCUGGCUACAACCAAAUCAUGAUGGUCGAGGAGGAUCAGGAAAAAACAACUUUCAUCACCCACCAAGGGACAUAUUGCUACAAGGUAAUGCCCUUCAGGCUAAAAAAUGCAGGAGCCACGUACCAAAGGCUGGUCAUCAAGAUGUUCAAAGAGCAACUAGGUAAGACCAUGGAAGUCUAUAUCGAUGAUAUGUUGGUAAAAUCGGCAAAGAAAGAAGACCACAUCAUCCACCUAAAAGAGACCUUCGAGAUACUAAGGAGGUAUGAGAUGAAGUUGAACCCCGAGAAAUGCGCAUUCGGUGUGGCCUCAGGAAAAUUCGUAGGGUUUCUCGUAUAGAAAUGAGGCAUAGUGGUCAACCCAGACUAGAUCAAGGCGAUAGACGCAAUACCUGAAGUGCUAAGUAGUAAGAAACAAGUACAGAAGCUGACAGGGCGUAUAGCCGCUCUAUCCAGAUUCAUCUCACGGUCAUCCGUCAGGUGCCAUAAACUUUUCAAUGUGCUCAAAAAAGACAAGGGCUAUAGUGGAACGAGGAAUGCGUUGAAACCUUGAGAAAGCUGAAGGUGUACUUGUCUUCGCCACCCCUGCUAGUCAAAGUGAGUCGAGGCGAACCCUGCUGGUGUAUCUUGCUGUGUCAGAGGUCACUGUUAGCGCCGUCCUAGUUCACAAAAGCAAAGGUACACAAUCCCCUAUCUAAUUACAUUAGCAAAAUCUUAGUGGACGCCGAAACUCGGUAUCCACACCUCGAGAGAUUGGCAUUGGCACUGGUAGUAGCUUCGCGGAAGCUACUGUCCUAUUUUCAGUGCACCCUAUAAAAGUGGUAAUGACCUUCCCAUUAAGAAGCAUCUUACACAACCUGAAUUAUCAGGCCGGCUCGUCAGAUGGGUUAUUGAGCUCAGCGAGCACCACAUCUUGUACCUUCCAAGAACCGCCACCAAGUCUCAAGUUUGGGACGAUUUUAUAGCCGAAUUUAGCGCAGAAAUCCUUCCAAAGGCAGAACUUGAGGCACAGCAUGCCUCCACCAAUAAUGACCUAUGGGUUCUCUACACUGAUGGAGCUACCAAUGCAUCAGGAUCAGGAAUGGGAAUCAUCCUCGAGGUUCCUACGGGUGAAACGAUUCGCCCUAAAAUGACUAACAGCGAGGCCGAGUAUGAGGCCGUUAUUGCAGGUAUGAAACUAGCCAUCAAAUAUGGGGCUGGCCAACUCAUCCUCCACUGUGAUUCCUAACUCGUAGUACACCAAGUCACUGGGACAUACCAGUUCAAAGAACAAAGAUUGCAAAAAUACCAGUCAGAAAUCCGCAGGUUAAUGGCUGAGUUCGACGAAUGCCGCUUCGAACAGAUUUUGAGGACACGAAAUAUUAAAGAAGACGAUCUAGCAAAGCUAGAUACGGCCACUAAAACUUCAACAAAGAAAGCGUGGUUACCCUCCUCCAUUCCACCAUUGAUCAUAGUGAGAUAUUCUCUUUAAAUUUGACUUGGGACUGGCGCAACCAGUUUGUAUCCUUUCUGCAGGACAGAACGCUACAACUCGACAAAAAUAGGCAAAGAAACUCCGCGUGCAAGCUGCUCGGUAUUGCCUAAUAAACAAUGACCUCUACAAAAGAACAUUUGGUGGACCCUUGGCCAAGUGCCUAUGGCAACACCAAGCGAGGCCGGUACUCGAAGAAGUCCACGAGGGCCACUGCGGCACCCAUACAGGUAUAUGCGACCUUGCACAAUACAUCAUACGGGCCGGCUACUAUUUGCCCACCAUGAAGAAGGAGGCAGCAGAAUACGUUCGCCGAUGCAAACAAUGCCAAAAAUACGCCCCCAUGAUACACUAACCAGGAGACCCCCCCCCCCCNNNNNNNNNNNNNNNNNNNNNNNNNNNNNNNNNNNNNNNNNNNNNNNNNNNNNNNNNNNNNNNNNNNNNNNNNNNNNNNNNNNNNNNNNNNNNNNNNNNNNNNNNNNNNNNNNNNNNNNNNNNNNNNNNNNNNNNNNNNNNNNNNNNNNNNNNNNNNNNNNNNNNNNNNNNNNNNNNNNNNNNNNNNNNNNNNNNNNNNNNNNNNNNNNNNNNNNNNNNNNNNNNNNNNNNNNNNNNNNNNNNNNNNNNNNNNNNNNNNNNNNNNNNNNNNNNNNNNNNNNNNNNNNNNNNNNNNNNNNNNNNNNNNNNNNNNNNNNNNNNNNNNNNNNNNNNNNNNNNNNNNNNNNNNNNNNNNNNNNNNNNNNNNNNNNNNNNNNNNNNNNNNNNNNNNNNNNNNNNNNNNNNNNNNNNNNNNNNNNNNNNNNNNGGAGACCCCCCCCCCCCCAUUCAUUUGCCUCUCCAUGGCCUUUCAUCAAAUGGGGAAUGGAUAUAGUCGGCCCCUUACCCGCAGGACGGGGACAGGUAUGAGUUUUACUAGUUUUAUUUGGCUAUUUCUCUAAGUGGGUGGAAGCAGGUGCGUAUGCACAAAUACGCGAACAGGAGGUGAUCGCCUCUAUAUGGAAAAAUACUAUAUGACGCUUCGGCAUCCCCAAAAAAAUCAGUUCUGACAGCGGACAAUAGUUCACCGGUAAAACAAAAACCAAAUUUUUCGAGAAAUGGCGCAACAAGAGGAUACUUUCCACGCCAUAUCACCCUGCCGCUAUCGGCCAGGCAGAAUACACCAACAAAGAAAUAUUAAACAUACUGAAGAAAAAGCGCGAGGACGCCAAAGGUCUAUGGCCCGAGCUGCUACCCAAAGUGUUGGGGCGCACAAGACCACGCCCAAAUCCAGCAUAGGGGAAACACCAAACACGCUAGUCUACGAAACCGACGCGGUCAUACCCAUCAAGGUCGGCGAACCAAGCCGAAGGUAUUCACACACCAGUGGAACAGAAAGUGACGUAAACAGGCUCCAAGACCUCAAUGAAGCCGAGGAGAGAAGAUAAAUGGCCCACAUAAGAAUGGUGGCCCAAAAAUAGCAAGUCAAAAGAUACUAUAACAAGAGGGCAAAGAUAAGACCACUCAAAGUGGGAGACUAUGUCCUCAAAGCCAAUACAUUGGCAUCCAAAGACCCAAGUGAAGGGAAACUGGGCACGAACUGGGAAUGACCCCACAAAAUCGCAGCAGUAACCAGCAAAGGGGCAUUCCAAUUGGAAACGAUGGAAGGGAAAACACUCCAAAACAAUUGGAAUGUUGCCCACCUCAAAGGAAGGACCCUACAAAAUCACAGUAACAGCCAUCAAAGGAGCAUUCCAGUUGGAAACAAUAGAAGGAAAAACGCUCCAAAACAAUUGGAACAUUGCCAGCCUCAAGUAUUUUCACUUCUGAAAGGCGUCUCUCGAGUCGUACUCUUUUUCCCUUACCCGAGUUUUGUCCCAAUUGGGUUUUCUCGAGAAGGUUGUUAACGAGGCGGUAAAGGUCGACCUAGAUUCGACUACGGCAAACAAGUGAUUCGAUGAUAGUCGAAGACGCCUAUAUGGCUAAAGCCAUCAACUCCAUCAUGGCUAAGGCCAUCGAUUCUAUUAUGGCUAAGAUUACCGCUGCCAACGGUCGAUCUAGAUCCGACUACGACAAACGAUUGACUCGACGAAAGUUGAAGCCGCCUAUAUGGCCAAAGCCAUCAACUCCAUCAUGGCUAAGGCCAUCGAUUUGAUUAUGGCUAAGGCCACUGCCGCCAACGGUUGACCUAAAUUCUACUACGGCAAACAAGUGACUCGGCGACAGUCAAAGCGGCCUAUAUGGCCAAAGCCAUCAACUCCAUCAUGGCUAAGGCCAUUGAUUCUAUUAUGGCUAAGGCCACCGCCACCAAUAGUCCACCUUUACUACAACAAACAAGUGACUCGACGACAGUCGAAGUCACCUGUAUGGCCAAAACCAUCAAUUUCAUCAUGGCUAAGGCCAUCAACUCCAUUACGGCUAAGGCCAUCAAUGCCGAUAGUCGACCCAGUUAAGCUAUGACAAAUGUCACGACCCAAAUUUCCCCACCAUCGGGAGUCGUGAUGGCGUCUACUAUCGGAGCUAAGCAAGCCAACUUUAACAUACCUUGUCAACAAAUUCUUCAGCAAAAUAAUAAUAAAAGCAAUAAAUUCAAGCGGAAGUCUUAAUUUUAAGACUAAAUAAAGAAAAUGCGGAAUAAUUAAUAUCAUCCUCUACCCAAGAUGUAGUGUAGCAUCAGCACAACCGAUCCCAUGUGCUGGUAGGUGUCUGGCCUAACCCCAGCGAGGUAGUGACGAGUCUAGACCGGACCUACAACAAUCAACCUAUACUGAUAUGCAUGCAAUAAUGGAAGAUAUACAAAAUUUAAACAGAUAAUAGGGAGGACAUGCUGUGGGGUGAAACAAUUCAGAUAUAUAACCAACAAACAUAAGAAAUGGAAACUGAAUAAUUAGCAUCAAUAAAAGAGAGCCAGUAAAUCAAUAAUCGCACGACACCAACUUUCGUGAUUUUGCUCUCAAUUCUCACCAAAACUGUCGAAUAUAGUGCGCGGCAUCACGCUUCGUGCUUUUCCUAACGUAACUCUCAUAUCAAGGCACAGAAUGACUUUUCGUGCUCAAAUAAUCAGGAACAUGGCAAGGAAAGACCCUUCGUGCAUAAGUAUCAAAACAUGGCACGGAAAGACCCUUCGUGCAUAAUUAUCAAAACAUGGCACGGAAAGACCCUUCGUGCACAGUUAUUAAAACAUGGCACGGAAAGACCCUUCGUGCAUAAUCGCCCUUCCUCGCCCAUUCAUUGAUCACUUGAAUAAUUAUCAAAACAUGGCAUGGAAAGACCCUUCGUCCAUAAUCGCUCUUCCUCACCCAUUCAUCGAUCACAGCCCAUCGAGAAAAGGAAAAUACAACAAGAUUAAACAUUCCGGCAAGGGAGAACAAUUCAACAAUAAGUCCCGGCAAGGGAAAACGAAUCAACAACAAGUCCCGGAAAGGGAAAAAUACCAUACUUACUUCUUUAACUCAUUUACUCCUCAACUAUCAAUUCAUAAUGUAUAUAGCAAGUAAUUAUCUCAAUUGUUUCACAUCUUUUGAAUCUAAAAGCAACUACGACUUACGGUCAUGCUAGACUCGGGUGUAUAGGUAACCAUCACCAUACCUACACACCGAAUCCACAUAGCACAUAGAAAAUAUUGUCCUAAUCCUAUUCCCUCAAGCCAAAGUUAGAACAAACACUAACCUUGAAAGCUCCAAACCCAACUCACGCCUUUAGCACGAAACAAAUAACAUCCUAAUCCUAUUCCCUCAAGUCAAAGUUAGAUCAACCACUUACCUCGAAAGAUCCAAACUCAACUCACGCCUCUAGGAUAGCUUUACCCCUCGAAUUCGGAAUGAAACCGCUCGAAUCUAGUCACAAGUUACCCAAAUGUAUCAAUAAAUGCUAGUUAUAUAAAUUUGCAUCCAUAAGAAUGAAUUUUCCGAAGUUUUACCCAAAAUUCCCAAAUUACCCUCGGGAUUACGUGGUCAAAACCCGAGGUUCGAACCAAAACCGGGUUACCCAUUCCCCUACGAGUUCAUAUCUAUGAUUUGUUUUGCAAUCGGACCUCAAAUUGAGGUCAAAAUCCCCAAUUUUAAGAAAACCUAGGUUCCACCCCAUAUCCCCAUUUCUACCCAUUGAAAGAUUUGAUUUUAAGAUGAAAUCAUGAUAAAAGAUGUUAAAGAUUGAAGAAAUUGAGUAAAAGUUGACUUACAAUUGAUUUGGGAAGGAGGGAGUUGAGAGAAAAUCGCCAAUGAAGGUUUAAGUUUUGAACAAAUUGACUUACAGUUGAUUUGGUAAAAGGAGUUGAGAGAAAAUCGCCAAUGGAGGUUUGGGUUUUGAAAAUAUAAAGAAUGAGGUUUAAAAUCGUAUAAGUAUAGAAUGCACAUGUGCAUAGCUCGCAAUUGCGCGACUGUGUUCGCAAUUGCGAGACUGUGUUUGCAAUUGCGAACUAUACAGGAGAAGGGCGGAUGUCACAAUUGCGAAGAAUUGUUCUCAAUUGCGAAGAAGGCAGACUUGGGCAGGACUAGCUUUUGCGAGGAUAUGUUCACAUUUGCGAACUCAUAGCUUAGGCUGGGGCUUUCGCAUUUGCGAGAUAUUCUUCACAUUUACGAAGACUACUGGGAAAGAUCAGUCAUCGCAUUUGCGAUGCUUCCUUCGCAUUUGCGAACUCAGCAGUUCUGGGACCAUGUUCGCAUUUGCGAACCAGGCUUCGCAAUUGCGAAGCCUGCAGGUCUACAACACCUGAAGCUCAUUCCCAACAUGCAAAAUGAACCCAACACCUAUUCAAAACUCACCCGAGACCUCAGGCCUCCAACUCAAACAUGCACUACAGGUCUGCAACACCUGAAGCUCAUACCAACAUGAAUAUUGAACCCAACACCUAUUCAAAACUCACCUGAGCCCUCAAGGCUCCAACUCAAACAUGCACACAACCUCAAAAAUAUCGUACGGACUUACUCGUGCAAUCAAAUCGCCAAAAUAACAUCAUUUACGUAGAAUCAAACCUCAAAACACAUGAUUUCUCCUUUAAAUUCUCAAGAACUUCAAAUUCCUUUGUUAGUCUGAAACACGUCAAAUGACGUCCAUUUUCAACCAAUCUUUACAGAUAGCUCUUAACGCUCAUUUAAGACCUGUACCAGGUGUCGGAACCUAAAUACAAGCCCGAUACCAUCACUUUCUAACUCAUUUUCAUUUCAAUUUCUCAAUCAAUUUCAGAUAAAUAAUUUCUUUCAAAAAUUCCGUACUCGGGCCUGCGACCUCGGAUUUCAAUUCCGGAAAUAUGCCCGGGUCCCAUUCUACGGACCCUCCAGGACUGUCACAUCACGGGUGCGGGUCCGUUUACCCAAAAUGUUGACCAAAGUCAACUACAUCAAUAUUAUUAUCAAAAUUCAUAGUUUUUAACACAAAAUUCAUAUAUUUCCACAUAAAAAGUUUCCGGCUUCGCGCCCGGACUGUGCAUGCAAAUUGAGGCGACCAAAUAAGAGGUUUUCAAGGCCUCGGAAGCACAAAGAAAGGGAGAAUUACGGUGAUGACCCUUCGGGUCGUCACAUCCUCCACCUCUAAAAUAAUUAUUCGUCCUCGAAGACAAAAAAAAAGAACUACCUGAGUCGGGGAAUAGAUGGGAUAACGGCUCCGCACUGAAGGAAAACUUUGCGACCUCAACUGUCAAACCUGCCGGUCUAAAAUACCCACCGGUUCCUCCUCUUAUGACAGAUCCUUGUCCAAUUAGACAAUACAGAAAUCUAACACGUGGGCGGGAUCGUCGUGAUACUUCCGAAGAAUGGACAGGUGAAAUACCGGAUGCACGACUGACAAGCUAGGCGGCAAGGCAAUUCUAUAAUCCACCUUUCCCACACGAUUGAGAAUCUCAAAUGGGCCAAUAAACCUAGGGCUAAGCUUGCCCUUCUUCCCGAACCUCAUCACACCCUUCAUAAGCGAUACCCGGAGCAAUACUCGCUCACCAACCAUGAAAGCAAUAUCCCUGACCUUACGAUCUGCAUAACUCUUCUGUCUAGACUGAGCUGACUGAAGUCUGUCCUGAAUGAUCUUGACCUUAUCCAAGGCCUCCUGCACUAAAUCUGUACCCAAUAACCAAGCCUCUCCCGGCUAAACCAUCCGACUGGGCACCGACACCGCGUACCAUACAACGCCUACUCUUGUACUAGAUCCAUACCCAGUAGUAGAGCCUCUCCCAGCUUACACCACCCGACUGGGGACCGACACCUCCUACCAUACAACGCCUCCUACGGAGCCAUCUGAAUGCUGGACUGGUAGUUGUUGUUGUAGACAAACUCAACAAAAGGCAAGAACUGGUCCCACGAGCCUCCAAAAUCAAUAACACAGGCUCGGAGCAUAUCCUCAAGAAUAUAAAUAGUCCUCUCAGAUAGAUCGUCCGUCUGGGGGUAAAAUGCUAUACUAGACUGAACCUUGGUGCCCAACUCAUGUUGUACCGCUCUCCAGAAAUGCGAGGUAAACUGUGGACCUCUGUCCGAAAUAAUAGAUAUGGGCACCCCAUGAUGGCGAACGAUCUCUCUGAUAUACAUCUCGGCAUAUCUUUCGAAUGAGUUGGUGGUGGCAACCGGAAUAAAAUGCACUGACUUGGUCAGCCUAUCAACAAUAAUAUAGCAUCAAACUUCUUCUGAGUCAUCGGAAGGCCAGUAAAUUCUCUCCCACUUCCACUCGGGAAUAUCAAUCCUCUUAAAUAACCCACCGAGCCUCUGAUGCUCGUACUUAACCUGCUGACAAUUCAAACAACGAGCCACAAUUGCAAAAAUGCCUUUUUUCAUUCUGCGCCACCAUUAAUGCUUUUCAAAUCCUGAUACAUCUUCGCGGUGCCCGGGUGAACAGAAUACCAAGAACUUUGGACCUCCGCUAAGAUCAGCACCCAAAUACCAUCAACAUUAGGCACACAAACUUUCCCUGCAAUCACAAUACACCAUCAUCUCCCAAAGUCAUUUUCUUGGAACCUCCCCGCUGCACCGUGUCUCUCUAAAAACAAAUGGUGAUCAUCAAACCGUCGCUCCCGGAUACACUCCAUCAAUGACAAAUGAGAAACCGUGCAAGCUAACACCCUACUGGGCUCAGAAAUAUCCAACCUCACAAAUCUAUUGGCCAAGGACUGAACAUCCAAGGCAAGUGGUCUCUGGCUGACCGGAAUAUAGUAAGACUACCCAUGCUGGCGGACUUCCUACUCAAUGCAUCAGCAGCCACAUUGGCCUUUCCCCGAUGGUAUAAGAUAGAAAUAUCAUAGACUUUUAGCAACUCAAACAAAACAUAUCCUCAUCUACCCAUCCUUUUUAUUCACAAACAAAACUUGUGCACCUCAAGGCGAUACACUAGGUCAAAUGAAACCCUUAUCAAGCAAGUCCUGAAGUUGCUCCUUCAACUCUUUCAACUCUAGCGGGGCCACGCGAUAUGGCAGAAUGGAAAUAGGCUGGGUUCCUGAAGCCAGGGCAAUACAGAAAUCAAUAUCCCUAUCGGGCGGCAUACUCGGCAGGUCUGAAGGGAAAACCUCGAGGAACUCCCAAACAAUAGGAACAUAGUUGAUAGAUGGAACCUCUGUGCUGGAGUCGCAAACAUAUGUCAGAUAUGCUAGACACCCUUUCUCGACCAUACGUCGAGCCUUGACAUACGAAAUAAUGCUAUGGGUGGCAUGAUUUUGGGUCCCUCUCCACUCAAGUCGGGGCAACUCUAGCGAGGCUAAGGUCACGGUCUUGGCGUGACAACCCAGAAUAGCAUGAUAUGGGGACAACCAGUUCGUCCCCAUAAUAACAUCAAAGUCCACCAUAUCUAAAAACAAUAAGUCGACACGGGUCUCAAGACCCUCAAAUACCACCACACAUGAACAAUACACUCGGUCGACCACUAUAGAAUUACCAACCGGUAUGGAGACAUAUACAGAAAUACCCAAGGCCUCACUAGGCAUGAUCGAAUAGGGAGAAAAAUAGGAUGAAACAUAAGAGUACGUAUAUCCCGAAUCAAAUAAUACAGAAGCACCCCUAUCACAGUCCAGUAUAGUACCUGUGAUCACAACAUCUGAUGACUCGGCCUCCGGCCUGGCUGGCAAUGCAUAACAACAGAGCUGGCCCUACCUCGCUAAACUGUGUCUCUGGGAUGAUCUGCUGCAGGCUGACCCCUGCCUCUAGUGGUCCGAGCUCCACCUCUACGAUCUCUCCCUCCACAUCUAUGAUCCCUACCCCCGCCUCUAGCUUGUUGGGCAACCUGUGAAUCACCUGUUGCCUGAAUCGUAGGGCGAGGACCCUGCUGAUGAGAACUACCCGAGGCUCGAGGGCAAAACCUGACAAUGUAACUCGGGUCACCACAACCAUAACAUGCCCUCGGGUGCUGAGACUGCUAGCCCUGUCGACCUGUAUGUCCUCCCCUUAAGCUCUAAAGUGGCAGUAUACUGAUGGGGGCUGGUGGUGAGCUGAAAGUUUGGUAAUCCGAAUAAUACUGCUGAGUACCACCACCGCCUGAGUGCCAUAAGAAACCUGAAGUGCCGACUGGAAGGGCCUCUGAGAGUGGCCUCUGUCAUAUGCAUCCCUACCUCCAGAUGAGGUACCACUGAACCUACCAGAAUGACGAGAUCGCACCGCCUGAGUGCCAUAAGAAACCUGAAGUGCCGACUGGAAGGGCCUCUGAGAGUGGCCUCUGUCAUAUGCAUCCCUACCUCCAGAUGAGGUACCAUUGAACCUACCAGAAUGGCAAGGCCUCUUGUCUGAACCCUGACUACCUCCUUGAACCAAUGCCAUCUCUAACAUUGGCCGCCUCCUGAAAGGAUAUAUCACUAUAAACAACCAUGGCCAUCUGAAGACGGAUCGGCUAAAUCAAUCCAUCAAUAAAUCUCCGGACCCUCUCUCGCUCUGUAGGGAGUAUCACAAAUGCAUGGCGUGCCAAAUCAAUAAAUCUAGUCUCAUACUAUGUAACUGUCAUGGAGCCCUGAUGGAUGCGCUCAAAUUGUCUACGGAGUGCUUGACGGAGAGAAACUUCUCCAAGAAUAACUCCAAUCCCAUGACAAAGCUGGAGACCCUGCUGGUCUAGAUAGGCAUUAAUCUCUCCACCAAGUCUUGGCAGAUCCUGCAAGCCUAAAGAUGCAAAAAUCGACCCCAUUGGUCUCCAAUAUACCCAUAGUCCUGAGGAUCUCAUAACAACUAAAUAGAAAAUCAUAGGGAUCCUCCGAUGAAGUACCGCUGAAAGUGGUGGUGAAAAGCUUGGAGAACCAAUCAAGUCUCCACAAAGCAUCUGAAGACAUGGACGUCCCAUCACCGGCCUAAGCUGUAACACCUGUCUGAGCUGCCAUUGUAGGCUGAACCACUGGAACCUGAGUCCGGGGAGCUACCUGCUCUGGAGUAUGCGUAGGAGGAGUUUGAACCCCUCCUCCAGCCUAAGAAGUGGCUAGUGCUACUGACAGCAGACCCGCUCUAGUAACACUGUCCAUAAUGCCUGAUAUACGAACGAGAGCAUCCUUAAGAUCCAGGGGAAACAUAACCCCUCCUGAGACCUGAGCUGGGUCCACUGGAGCUGAUGGGGCUGGAACCUCCCCAUCAAAGUCAAUAUGAGGCUCCACCUCUGUAACUGCUGCCUGGAGAUGAGCUCUGCCCCUACCACGGCCUCUUGCACGGCUUCGGCCCCUGCCCCUCGCGGGAACUGCUGCUCGGAGCUCGCGUUUGCUGCGCGUAGAAGAAGACGCAUGUGUUCUCGUCAUCUGCGAAAGAACAGAUUAGAGCGACAAUCAAUAAUUGAGAAACAGAAUCGCACGACAAUAAUGAACAAAGUGAAAUUUUUCCUAACUUUGUGGCCUCUAGGGGAUAAAUACACACGUCUCCUUACCAAUCCCUCAGACUCUACCGGCUUGUCCGUGAGUUGUGAGACCCAAGUAACAUAAUGCUCUGGUACCAACUUGUCACGACCCGAAUUUCCUCACCAUCGGGAGUCGUGAUGGCGCCUACUGUCGGAGCUAGACAAGCCAAUUUAACAUAUAUUUUCAAUAAAUACUUCAGCAAAAUAAUAAUAAUAAUAAUAAUAGCAAGAAAUUCAAACGGAAGUCUUAAUUUUAAUAUUAAAUAAAGAAAAUACAGAAUAAUUAACAUCAUCCUCUACCCAAGAUUUAGUGUCACAAUACUCAUAGACUACUAUAAGAUACUACAAAUACGAGUCUAAGAGAAAAUACAUAAGAAGUCUGUUUUGAUACAAUGAAAACAAAAUGAAAUGAAAUGAAAUGGAUGAGACUCAGGGCCCGCGCACGCCAGCGAACUACCAAGGAGUCUCUGGACUGAAGGCAUGCUCCCAAUCUAUUGCUGCGGUCCGUAAGCUAUCUCCUGACCUGUGCACAAAAGGCACAUAAGUGUAGCAUUAGCACAACCAACACAAUGUUCUGGUAAGUUCCUGGGCUAACCCCGGAGAGGUAGUGACAAGGCUAGACCGGACCUACCACAAUCAACAUGUACAUAUAUGCGUGCAAUAACGGAAGAUAUACGAAUUUUAAACAGAUAAUAGUAAGGGGACGUACUGUGGGGUGUAAUAAUUCAGAUAUAUAACCAACGACCAUAAGAAAUGGAAACUGAAUAAUUAGUAUCAAUAAAAGAGAGCCAGUAAAUCAACAACCGCACGGCACCAACUUUCGUGUUUUUACUCUCAAUUCUCACUAAAAUUGUCAAAUAUAGUGCACAUCAUCACCCUUCGUGCUUUUCCUCACAUAACUCUCAUAUCAAGGCACGGAAUGACCCUUCGUGCUCAAAUAAAAAAGAACAUGGCCCGGAAAGACCCUUCGUGCAUAAGUAUCAAAACAUGGCACGGAAAGACCCUUCGUGCAUAAUUAUCAAAACAUGGCACGGAAAGACCCUUCGUGCACAGUUAUUAAAACAUGGCACGGAAAGACCCUUCGUGCAUAAUCGCCCUUCCUCGCCCAUUCAUUGAUCACAUUCAAUCGGAGAAAGGAAUAUACAACAAGAUUAAACAUCCCAGCAAGGGAGAACAAUUCAACAAUAAGCCCCGGGAAGGAAAAACGAAUCAACAACAAGUCCCGGCAAGGGAAAAAUACCACACUUCCUUCUUUAACUCAUUUACUCCUCAACCAUCACUUCGUAAUUUAUUUAGCAAGUAAUUAACUCGGUUGUUUCACAUAUUUCGAAUUCAAAAGCAACUACGACUCAUGGUCAUGCUAGACACGGGCGAAUAGGUAACCGUCACCAUACCUAUACACCGACUCCACAUAGCACAUAGCAAAUAUUGUUAUAAUCCUAUUCCCUCAAGCCAAAGUUAGAACAAACACUUACCUCGAAAGCUCCAAACUCAACAACCAAAACCAGGUUACCCGUUCCCCCACGAGUUCAUAUAUGCAAAUUGUUUUGAAAUCGGACCUAAAUUGAGGUCCAAAUCCCCAAUUUUACUAAAACCUAGGUUCUACCCCAAAUCCCCAUUUUUACCAAUUGAAAGCUUUGAUUUUAAGAUGAAAUCAUGAUAAAAGAUGUUAAAGAUUGAAGAAAUUGAUUAAAAGUUGACAUACAAUUGAUUUGGGAAGAAGGAGUUGAGAGAAAAUCGCCAAUGGAGGUUUGGGUUUUGAAAAUAUGAAGAAUGAGGUUUAAAAUCGUCUAAGCAUAGAAUGCACAGGUGCAGAUCUUGCAAUUGCGAGACUGUGUUCGCAAUUGAGAACUAUGCAGGAGAAGGGCCGAUGUCGCAAUUGCAAAGAAAUGUUAGCAAUUGCGAAGAACGCAGACUUGGGCGGGACUCGCAUUUGCGAGGAUAUGUUCGCAUUUGCGAACUCAUGGCUUAGGCUGGGGCAUUCACAUUUGCGAGAUAUUCUUCGCAUUUGUGAAGGCUGGGAAAGAUCAGUCAUCGCAUUUGCGAUGCUUCCUUCGCAUUUGCGAACUCAGCAGUUCUGGGACCAUGUUCGCAUUUGCGAACCAGGCUUCGCAAUUGCGAAGCCUGCAGGUCUACAACACCUGAAGCUCAUUCCCAACAUGCAAAAUGAACCCAACACCUAUUCAAAACUCACCCGAGACCUCAGGCCUCCAACUCAAACAUGCACACAACCUAAAAAACGUUCUACGGACUUACUUGUGCGUUCAAAUCGCCAAAAUAACAUCAUUUACAUAGAAUCAAACCUCAAAACACAUGAUUUCUCCUUUAAAUUCUCAAGAACGUCAAAUUUUCCAUUUUUAGUCGAAAACACGUCAAAUGACGUCCAUUUUCAACCAAUCUUUACAGAUAGCGCCUAACGCUCAUUUAAGACUUGUACAAGGCGUCAGAACCAAAAUAUGAGCCCGAUACCAUCACUUUCUAACUCAUUUUGAUUUCAAUUUCUCAUAUCAAUUUCAGAUAAACAAUUUCUUUCAAAAAUUCUGAACUCAGGCCUGGGACCUCGGAUUUCGAUUUCGGGAAUACGCCCGGGUCUCAUAUUUUUCUACGGACCCUCAGGGACCGCCACAUCACGGGUUCGGGUCCGUUUAACCAAAAUAUUAACCAAAGUCAACUAUAUCAGAAUUAUUAUCAAAAUUCAUAGUUUUUUAACAUAAAAUUCAUAUAUUUCCACAUAAAAAAAUUUCAGCUUUGUGCUUGGACUGCGCACGCAAAUCGAGGCAAGCAAAUAAGAGGUUAUCAAGGCAUCGGAAGCACAAAGAAAGGGAGAAUUAUUGUGAUGUCCCUUUGGGUCGUCACAACAAACAAUUAAUUCGACGACAGUCGAAACCGCCCAUGCCGACCUAGCUUAAACUAUGGUGGAAGGCGCAAAAGCAGCAAUCAGAAACGCAAUAAAACCUCUAAGGAACAAAAGAAGAAUAGUAAUAGCAAAAAGUCAUAUUUCAUUAUCUCCAAAAGUAUAUGUACAUCUGACCCUAGAAAAAGGCCCCAUUUACACAUUAAAUAUACAUACAAAGUCCUAAGAGCCUUGACCGCUCCGUCCAUCACGACCCGCCUGAUCGCCAUCCGGACCAUUGUUAUCUCCGGGCUGAUAGGUCUUAGAAAUCCAUGAACUAGAGUCCAUAUGGUUAACGUCCUCAGAGUUAUAGCACUCCCUACCUGGAGAGUCGGAGUUGUAAUCGCCCGCUUCAUGGGCAACACAGACUAACUGUCAUUGUCUUUCAACUUCCGCCUCAGAAGCCCGACUUGCCGCCAAGAACUCCACAAAUACGACCAAAUUGGCAUCAUCGUACACCCAUAUCUCGAGCACAUCACGAUGCGCAGCAUCUUGUAGGGCAGUUCGAUUGAGAACCGUGACCCGGGUCCGCAGCCUCCGCCGCUACUACACGGAUGAUCUCCAACUCAUCAUCCUUCGACUGAAGAAGGAUCUCCAACUCAGUGUUCCGUGCAACAGCAGCCACGAGCUACUCAUCAACCUUCUCCAAUUCGUCCACUCACCUUUUUAACUGCUCCUCAGAUUAUGCGAGGCCUUCACAGAACAUCCUAAACUUGGGAUCCUGCUUGUACAUAUCAGCAAACAUCUGAUGCGCCUCAUGGAUCCGCCUGUACUUCUGCAGCAAUUUAUUGAAGGCAAUCGCCCUCUUCACAAGCGUCGCCCCCUCUCUAUCUCCAAAAUGAGAGUCUGAAAAAUACCAAAGAAGAAGUAAGUACAAGGAUACGCCACCCCCGCAACACAAAAAAAAGGGUCAAAAAGCUACCUGCAAGGCCGCGCCAGCGACCUUCCAGGAUAAGUUCCUAUCACUUACUCCCACCAACGCCUCGCCCUCAGUGCCCGCACACAGAAUAGUCAUAUCUACAGCGACCUGCACACAAUUCUCCAAUAGAUUAUAACCGCUCGGAAUCACGAUACAGCGGGUGGACCUACUAGCCGUCAUCUCUACAUGAUCCGAGGAACUCCUUCAUCUGAUCGCAUCUUCAGCAGCAGCCUCAAGUCUCGCCCUUUCAACUACUACACUCUUUCCUGCUGUUGCGGCUGAUGAACCGCCUUCCUAAGUAUGGUCCGAGCCGGCCUCGGCAUAAUACCUCUUUUGAGGAGCAGACCUCUCCAAGCGGAUUGCAUCAGCCAUGAAAGAUGGCCUCAACCCACGACGAGGUAAACUCACCCUCUCGUAUCCAAUUGAUAUCCCUUUACCAGUGAUUAGCCGCUGCCUUUUUCUCUAUUGCUGCUUUUCAUCCUCAGAGGCCUCCUAUACGGGCCACAAAGGCGGCUCUGGAGGAGCCGCCUCAUUAAUAGAUGCAGCCUCAGUUUGCCUCGUACGCACGGCCUCGAGAACCACCCCAAGCGUCGUCGAAGGCGCUUCUUCGUAUACUGCCACACGCACCUCCACUAGCGCCACGUCCAACAUCGUUUUAGGCAACACCUCAGGCACCGCCUCUGGCACGCCCCUCUGCUGUGAGGUCGAAAGGGCUUUGUCUCUAGGUGAGCCUCCCACGAAUAUAUCCUCCCCAUCGGAGUCAGACUCUGCCCUAAACGGGCCAACUACGGUUUUCUUCUUCUCCUCCUUUUUAGAAGCGCCCCGACCUGCCAAAUGAGAAUACAUUGAAUAAAAGGAUCUUCAAGCCAACAACAAGGAAAAGAGAGAAGAACAGGAAAGAUUGUUACCAGUUGGGCCAUACAGUCUACGAAACGCAGCCCAGGUACAGCAUUUUUCCGCAUACGGUAUCAGCUCGGCUACCCAAGACCUAAUGUCGUCAACGAGAUAAGGCGGGCGAGCCGCCACUACAAAAGGAAGAAAAAUAAAUCGUAAUGAUUGAUCGGCCAAAACAAAAGAAUCACGAAAUCACGCACAAAGAUACUUACAUCCCGAAUUCCACGUCUCCGGAAACCCUUCAGGAUUGGAUACCGGGUGUCUCGUCUUGAUAUAAAAGUAUUUACGCCAGAAGUUACGGUUAGCUUUGUCGUCAAACUUCACCACAAAGCUCUUUUUACCACGGCUCCUCAAUUGGAGCAUGGUACCUCUCAUGUAGCUAGGGCUGAACAUCUGCAGCAGGUGAUGAAUAGAAACUAUGUUCCCGACCUUGCCCGCAAACGUGGUGAGAAUUUCGGCACACUUUCAGGGCAUACGGUGUGAGUUAAGCCGGGCACACAUGGUCGAUCGUCAAACUUCACCACAAAGCUCUUUUUACCACGGCUCCUCAAUUGGAGCAUGGUACCUCUCAUGUAGCUAGGGCUGAACAUGUGCAGUAGGCGAUGAACAGAAACUACGUUCCCGGCCUCGCACAAGCGUUGGGAGAAUUUGGCACACCUUCAGGGCAUAAGUUGUAAGGUGAGUCGGGCCCACGUGGUAGAAGUGACAAAGCUCCUUCGCUAGAGGGUUAAGCGAAAAGUUGUAUCCAAUCCUAAGUGCAUAUGCGUAGAACGUUCAGAACCAAGGCCUAUGCACAUUGGCAUAGUCCACCCAUGCCGGAGCCAUUUCAACAUGGUCGGGGAUGUUGUACGUAGUUCUGAGGGCGUCUCUGUGAGACUGCAAUAACUCACUGGGUUCCCAAGGAAGAGAGGGCAUUUCGAGUUGAAGUCAUUUCGAACACUCAGGUUUUUCGGAAGGAUAUUAUCCACCGUUAGCAGAACGAGGGUUUUCUCCACUUCUUCCCCCUCACCAUCCAAGGAAGGCGGAGCCCUAGAAGGGGAUUAUCCUUAGUCUUUUUGUUGUCUUGACGACACUUCGCCAUGGUAUAAUUCAUGAAUAAAGGUGUCAACGACAAGAGGUACAAUACCCUGAAAUGGUAGUUCUCAAAUGAAUCAGCAAUUACCAGAAAGAAAUAAAGAGACACUCUCAAAGGGUUCGAAAUAUGAAUCACAUUGAACCACUCCUCUAUUUAUAGGGAUAAGUUAUGCGGAAAUCGAAAAGGAACAAUUCUAAUACUAGCACGGGAAACCAAAACGUCAGGUCAUGCUCUGAAUCGUCUCGGGAACAAAUAUAAUGAUGCCGCACGUGACCAGUGACGUCAUUCUAGAAAAGGGGUCGUAUGUCAACGACUCAACAAUAUUACACAUGCUCAUGUCCUUUGAAAGAGGCGUCUAUGGGUGCGGCCAAAUUUUUCGUAAAAGCGAAGUAUGCAUGUCCGUCAAUUGAAGGCGGUCGUCCAGCACGUCUCCAACGGACGGAGGGAUUAACUGUAUAGGGUAAAUUUUGGCUCUCAACGUCCCCACACCGAGCGGGCACGUCCAUUAUGAUAAAUUCGACCCGAGUGAGGGCACGGCCCAGUUGAUAAAGUAAAGGAGACAUCGUUUAGGGUCUUGCUUCUUUAGUACGAAGAAGCCACCAACUUUUUAUUUUUUUUUUUGAUUAUUUCGAGAAAGGUCUCCUACUAUAUAAAGGAGACCUUCACCUUGUAAUAGGAUAUGUGUUAUUCUGAAUAAUACAACUCUUUUACUCUCUCUCUCUCUCUCUCUCUCUCUCUCUAUCUCUAACAUGCAUUCUCUCUCAUUCUAAAUUUCUUACUAGUUCUUCACAUUUUCAGAUCUACAACGAUCUUAACAUAAUAAUCAUCUCUAAGACUCAUUAUAUUUGAUUACGAUUUCCCCUUAUCCAUUUUAGAUUGUUUUUAAGCUUAUAAACUGUGAAUAUAACUUUUGAGCCAAACAGGUAGGAAAUGUAAUUAGUUUAUAGGUAAGAAAAUAAAUAGGUAGACAAGGAUAAAUAAUUUUAUUUUUAUGGGUAACUAUAUCAAAACCCAAUUAAUUAUAUACCAUUGUACAAACACACACUUUCUUGGCAUAUAUAUAAAAGAAAUUCUCUGCAGAAUGAAUAAGAAAUGACAAAUACCUGUGAAUCUGGAUUUUGUUCGUCAAGUGACUAUUUUACCUAAAAAGAAUUAGUUAAACAUUUCACCGCUAUAUGCCACUACAUAAACAUAAAACAACAACUACUACCCAAUAUAGUCCCACAACAUGGGGUCUGGGGAGGGUAAUAUGUAGACGGGCCUUACCCCUAUCCGAAAGGGCAGAGAGGUUAUUUCCAAUCGACCCUCGGCUCAUUGAAGGAAAAGAAAAACAAAAACAAAAAGAAAACAGCAUUUGUAACUCCAGCAGAAAUAGUAUAAAUAAUUAUCUAAACAUAAGAACCAUAAAUAAAUCGCAUACAAUAAUAUCAAACAAUAACUACCAUAAAUAACUACCCUAAGGGAGACACAAUCCAAUACACGAAUCAUUUAUGGAUAGCCCUGCCAAGCCUCACCCAACCCCGAGUGAGGAGUACGAAAAACUCUAGGAGCCCCUAUCCUACAGUCCUGAUACUAGACCUCCAGACUUUCCUAUCAAGAGUCAUGUCCUCAGAAACUCACAUUCUAACCAUGUCAUGACUAAUCACCUCUCCCCACUACUUAAACAAAAAUAUACAAAUAAAUUACGCCCGUGCUUAUUCAAUUUUUCCAUCUUUAAUUCCAAUAUUCACUAUACUGUAUACGCAGGAACGGAUAUAUGUAAUGACAUGAACUCAGUAGUUUAUUAUCCAAAUUAUGUAUAUAUAUUAAGAAAUUUAUUAAAUAUUUAAUUGUGAACUUAAUUAUUAUUGUAUAUUAAUUUAAAAUUAUUGUGAAAACUAUGAAUAAACUUCAAAUUUUUGAUCUACUUACGAAGGUAGACGCUCUAUCUCUCUAUAUCACAUAAAUGAAUCUCCAAAAGUCAAAAUCUGCAAAAAUUAUAAGGCUUCGUGCAUGUUUAUAUUGGUUCUCGGCUCUGGUUUAAAAGGAAGAAUUGAGAUUCACCCGGGACUCGUCCUGGGAUGGGACACUCGUAAAACGUCUCUGGGUUUAUGUAUGAGGCUUAGUUUCGUGAUACUUACGCAUCGGCCUUCGGGGCUUACGCCCCGGACAAGACCAACGCCUUACAUACUGGGUUCGCAUGAUAGAACUUUAUGCUAUUGUAUGUAACUAACCUUAUAAAUCCUCAAAAUUUCUUAAUAAAUCGUUAACUAUUCAAAAUUACUUUUUUCUUCAUCGUAAAUUAUCAAGUUGAGAAUAUUUUACUGUCAUAAUAAAAAUAAAAUUUAUUGCACAUUAUCCACUAAGAUUGCUAUGAUAGAAAAUUUUAAAUAAAGCUUUCAUUUAAAAAUAUUUAUUUAUUAACCUUUGUUAUAUUUUUAUUAUAUUAGUCCAUAAUUUUUUUAAAUUAUUUUCCUAAAUAUUAUUUUUCAUAUUUACGAAAUGCAAUACUUAUUAAUUUUAUAGCUUUGUAUUAGCUAGUAACUAUUUAUAAAUAAACAGUUAUCAUGGUAUAGUAUGGUAAAUUAUGUGUCACUUUAUUAACUUGUUGAAGCUUAAAAAUAAAUGAUGCUAGAGAAUCAUAUUUAAAUUUUGAAUAAUAUUUUUAUAUAAAUUCUCUUUCAAAUAGAAAGCGUAUUAAAUAAAAGGAGUGUUUAAAAAAUAUAUAAUGUCGAAAUUAUUUUAAUAUUCAUUACUACUUAAGAGACACAUAUAAGAUUUGGUAUUUGCGUCGUAAGGAUGUUGCAGCUAAUUUAUAUAUUUUGAUAUAUGUCAUACUUUUUGUAUUAUUCAUAGUUAAAUUAUAAUUUAUGAAUAUUUUAAAUAGAUUAUAUGUUAUAGUUAUGUGAUUUUAAUAUAAUUUUAUAAUUAUUUUUAUUUUAUACUAUCUUAAAAUUUUUAAAAUUAAUAAAAUUUAAAAAUUCAUGAAACUUACGCUCCAAUGAUUUUAAUGUAAUUUUUAUAAUUAUUUUUAAUUUAUACUAUUUUAAAAUUUUUGAAAUUAAUAAAAUUUAAAGAUCCGUGGGACUUACGCCUCCCUUCGUGGGAGGUAAAAUGCCUCGUCCUAUCCUCGGCUUUUAAAACACUGGUUCUCGGAAGUAGUUCAACACUUGCUCCUUCCUUUCGAAGUUCAUAUUCUCUUCUUUUAUUCUUUUUCUUUUGGAGGCAGAAAACCUGAUGUCCUGGUAAAAACACAUUGGAUUGUGUAUUUUUCUUUUUUGGGUUUGUAGAAAGGCUAUCGUAAUUAGCCAUUUAGAUUUGAAAACUUUUUAUUUUAACUAAAACCACAUAACUUUCUUUAUGAAAUAUUGGGAGUAAACAUACCAUUAAUUCUGGUCCAAUUUACGAAAAUUGACAUAUAUUGUAUUGGUUGUGCAAAAGAUCUACACGUGAAAUAUUAGACUGUUGACAUGGCCUGACACGUGGAAUAAUAAUAUAGCGACACAUGACAAUCUUAUUUGAUAGAAAGGAAAAGGCACGGAAAGAAAUACAUAUGAGAUGGUACCGGGUCUAACAGCUGACAAGGAAUGAAUAAAUAAUAAAGAAGAAGAAAAGAUACAUCAUACACGAUGAUCAACAAGGUGAUGAGCAAACUGCCGAGGACGCAUUAAAAUAACUAAUCACGGAACAUGUCAAUGAUACUCUCCAAGAUUUUGUCUGUGGAUUGUCAACUGCGCCACCAACUCCACCUCCAAACAACACUACAACUAUAGAAAAACCACGCUCGGGACUUGCUAAUUCGGGAAGCGGAGGAACUCCCAAUGAAUCUCGAGAUGGAUGGUCAUGUACACCAAAUAAUUCUGAUUUAUAAAGUUUACUAAUAACUUUGCAGAAGUAGCUCAAGGAGCAGAACGAUCGCAUAGAACAAAUACCUGGUGUGCCACCCAUGAUUAAAGGAGUGGAUAUUGACAAAUAUUCACAACAGCCCUGGAAGCCAAGUGCAACUCCCUUGCGGAUUCUAAAAAGGUUUAAAAUACUCGAUAUUCAAAGCAUGAUGGAAUGACCGACCCACAAGAUAAUGUAACAAUAUUUAAAAUUGGCGUUAAAAGCAAUGAUUUAACCAAGCAAGAAAUUGAGUCAGUUCUUGUCAAAAAAUUUGGCGAAACACUUACGAAAGGAGCACUAACAUAGCAUUCUCUUUUACCAGAAAAUUCUCUUGAUUUUUUGCUAAGCUUGCAAAUUAAUUUAUAAAAUCACAUUCGGGAGCUCAAAAAGUUGAGAAGAUGAUGGAAGACAACUUCAAAAUAAAACAAGGAGAUACAUAGCUACUCAGGAAAUUUGUGGAUAGAUUUCAACGUAAAAGAAUGAUGUUACCGUACGUACCUGAUAAUUGGGUGGCCAUGGUGUUUUCAAGUAACUUAAAUGAGGAAAACUCAGAAGUCACGAGGAGACUCAAGGAAAACUUACGAGAAUUCCCUACUACAACUUGGAAUGAUGUGUACAACAUGUACAGUACGAAGCUGCGCAUAGAAGAGGACACUAUCACUCGGCCAAGGGGUGAUGAAAGAACGAGUUCGAGGCGAUCAGAAAUCGAAAAAGAUCUAGUAAAAACAAUUACAAACCUUACAUGGGACCAACAGGACGGGAUUCACGCUCUAAACAAGAAAAUCCAAGGUAUGGGUAUAGAUCAAGAGACAGAGACGCGAGUUCAUCCUCCAAGUUUGGGAAAGAGCGAGAUGCGGGGGAAAACCAUGUUAAUACAAAGGCAAAGAUUGGUAAUUAUAAUUUCAAUAUUAGCACUUCUGAGUUGGUAGUUGUUUUAAGAAGUAUGGGAAAUAAGGUGCGGUGGUCAAAAGAAAUGAGAUCGAACCCUAGCAGAAGAAAUCCAGAUUUCAGGUGCGAGUUUUUAACCACGGUCAUAAAACAACAUAUGGCAUAUUGCUACAAGGUGAAAUUGAGUAUUUGUUGAAAUAAGGUUAUUUAACUGAUUUGUUCAGUGAGAAAGGUACGCAAACGUAUAUGAAGAAUAGAUAAGAGCCUCCAAAACCCCAAUCACUUAAAAGGAUAGUUAAUGUGAUAAGCGGAGGUGAAGAGGUCAACGGUAUGACAUAUACGGCUGCAAAAAAGAUAUCAAAAGUCACGGUUACCCACAGAAAGAAACUUCGCCAAGUUUUGGAAGAAGACAACAUAACAUUUGAUAAUGCAAAUGCAGAUGGCAUGAUGAUUCCUCACAAUGAUGCAUUGGUAAUAUCUUUAGGUGUACAUGAUACUAAUGUGAAACGAGUAUUGGUUGAUCCAGGUAGCUCUGUAAAUAUCAUUAUUCUGAGGGUGGUAAAAGGGAUGCAAGUUGAUGACAAAAUGGUGCCCAAAGCACAUUAUCUGGAUUCGACAAUUCAAGUGUUGUAACAAAAGUGGAAAUAAUGCUUACCACGUUUGUGGAAGAGGUUGUCAAAGAUAUGAAAUUCCAAGUAAUAGAUAAAAACAUGGCGUAACUCCCAACGACCCCGCACAUUUUGGUUCAAAGAGACUUCAAGGGCGGAACUCCCCUCUCCUUACUAAGCGGACCCUGGUGUAGCAGCCAUAAUUGUGGUAAAACUAGGGGAUUGGAGCGGGAAUUUAAGCAAGGGCAUCAAAGUUUAAACGGUGAAGGAACUCAGGAAAGAAAAACUCUUUAGAUGAGGAUAACUACUCGAAAUAGUGGAAUCCCCAAAAGAAGGAAUACAACCAUAUAUGUGGAGAAAGCGGCAACUAUCUUCCUGCCUCAAUGGCCAAUUAAAAAUGUUGAAUAAACCAUUUUUUUCUCUGGGAAGACGUACCCCCGAAAUUACCCUAGUCGCUCAUAACCAAAUCAUGCAAUUAAUGCUGCCAUACGGUAUUUCGUGGAUCGAAAAUCCCCGCAUCGUUGCAAGCCUCGAGAUGGUACCCGACCUCGAGGGCCUCCACCAAGAAGGAGAUAUGAUUCAAGAAGCUAUUAAUUUCAGUACGCGCCUCGAGAUGGUACCCGAUAUCGAGGUCCUCCACCAAGAAGAAGAUAGGCUCCAAGAAGUCAUUGCUUUCAUUACGAGCCUCGAGAUGGUACCCGAUCUUGAGGACCUCCACCAAGAAGAAGAUAGGCUCCAAGAAGCCAUUAAUUUCAUUACUAGCCUCGAGAUGGUUCCUGAUUUUGAGGUAUUCCACCAAGAAGAAGAUAGGCUCCAAGAGGCCAUUGAUUUCAUUACAAGCCUCGAGAUGGUACCCGAUCUCGAGGACCUCCACCAAGAAGAAGAUAAGCUCCAAGAAGCCAUUAAUUUCAAUACGAGCCUCAAGAUGGUACUCGAUCUCGAGGACCAUUGCCAAAACGAAAGUUAAGCUCUAAAAAGAGCUGCUCAUAUCUAAGCCUAAUCUCGAGGUGGCAUCCUGCCUUGACGGUUUUUGCUAUUGCAAAUGCGGGUCAUUUACCCGAUUCCUUGGCCCUCAUGCUACUUGAGAUCUGGCCAGUUCGCACUUAAUAAUUACUGAUGAAGCCCCAUGUCUACAUUCACACUAAAUUCAAAUCAAGUUUCCCAGGCCACCAAAACUUAGGCUAAACCUCACUCGGGAACUGUUCAUAAAAGUCUCGGGAACUACCAACGGGAUCUAAAUGGAGCUAAGUUUGUUAUAAAAAUCGAGACCUCAUUCUCACUUGAUUCAAAGUUGCUGAUUUCGCAGCCUAAGCCUAUAAUGGGUUAAUCUGGGCUUCCUCCGAGGAACAGAAAAGUGUUUCAGGGAAAAUCAUAUUGGCCGAUUGAGAAGCGAGGGAAUACCUACGCCCUAAUCCGAUAUUCGGGCCAACUGGUAGAGUCGCAUGCUCAUAUUUUUUUUACAAACUCAUAUAAAGAAGGAAUUCAACAUAAAUCAAAGACAAACCGAAUAAAUAUCCUUGUAUCAAUGAGUCGUGAUUACAAAAGUCCACGAGGGAUCCUUACAUAUGGUUACAAAAGCCCACGAGGGGUCCUUUCAUAGAAACAAAGAAGCAAGAAAAUAAAGGAAUAAAAUCCACGGAUCUAAUCUAUUCUCGGGGGUACAUCCUCAGCGGCAAUAUCUUCAAGCAUCAUCUCCUCGAGAGCCUCAUCUCGAUCUUCCAAAACUGCAUCUUCAAGGGAGAAGAUGAAGAAAUGGAAAGUGAUGAAGAAGAAGCAGAAAAAGAUGAAGAAGUGGUUGGGUGAAAAAUCUAGCGAGUACGAAUCUCGAUUGCACUACUAUUGCAAAGCCAAUUCUUGAGACGUUACACCGGUGCGGGAUGCAACAAUUAGUGUACAGUACCACCUCACUCCACGAAAAGCAAAAGGAGUGGGGAAUCAGGAGAGAUCAGCAGAGGUUCAUAGUCCUCAUAACCUCUAAUGCGAGGAUAAUUUGAUAUUUCUCCCACGUCACCUCGGGUCAACAACAACAACAAUAAAAAAUCAGUACAAUCUCGCUCGCUAAAGGAGAGACCUGGAAAAAGGCCAUAGCGUGACUGAUGAGAACGUCGCCAUGUAACAUUAAGGCCAUGGGCCUUAAGCAUGGGAAAUAACAGUGGAUGAGGAUGAAGAGAAGAAAGGGGUGAAAGGUUGUUAAAGAGCAUUUAAAUGAAAAGCUAGUUCAAGAAGGCUUCCAUUUAUAGAACGGGUGGAAGCGUAAUCGACGGCAACAUUAAUGUCUUUAAAAGACGUAUCGACGGGCGCAAUCAAUAUGUUUUUGGGAACUGGACCACGGCGAUAUUAUCGCUUUGAAGAAUAUGAGUCGGCAGUGCAUUGAAUGAUUCUGAAAAGGAGAACCAACGGGACGCCUCAGUUAUCACAAAGGCUUACCUCAUAAGUAUGACAUUAUCGCGGGAAGCUCGAAGAGAUGGACAUCAAAGUCGUUUCUUAUCGUUCCACUCUAAGAAACGCGAGGACUAUCUGUAUACGGUAAAAUCGAAAGGUCCAAUUUUCCGUCUUACGAUGCCUCGUAAGGACUUAUUCAAAGGCGAGGCUAUGGUCGAUAUUCAAUCGACACCUGACUUCAGGGUAAUAUGGAUCGGCGAUUAUGAUGAAAAUGUGGGAAGUUCCUAACAAUUAGCAUAAAAAUAGAUCAUGAAUAUUUAGAACCACAAAAUUAAAUUUAAUUACAAUUACCAUUUUUACGGCAAACAGUACUUUUAAUACAAAGUAGUAGAAUUUUUAAUAUAAAAGGAAAGAAAAUUCUUUCGAUAUAUAAAUAGUAAUAAUUCACUUACUUAAAAAUGGGCAAACAAAUAGUUUUCCCAACCUUUAGCUUUCCACUUUUUAUUCCUUCACUAGGUAACGUGCCAAAUUUGUAUUUUCCUUUUCUUAAUUUAUUCAAGUCCAUCUUUUUUUCGCCAAUCUCUUCAUAUUUCAAAACCCCUAAAUAUUUUCUGUCUUUUUCUUUAAUAUUUUCAUUCAUCUUCUUUCUCCAAUAUUUCAUUACUCAUCUUCUUUUUCUAAAUUUGAUUAGUCGUUUAAUACGUAAUACUUUUAAGCUUCCAAUAGUUUAUACUUCUAUUGCUCUAUAAACUCUUAUAUAUAAAAAAUGAGUAAUGAAAUCGAUUAUAAAAAUAAUUGUUAAUAAUUUUAUGUCUCAAAAUGCUUAAAGAAUAGAACUCAAAAUAAAAACAACAUAUGCUUGAGCCGCCCCGACUUUAGGACUCGAUAAUAGCGAAAUUAUAAGACUCCGUAUCUUCACUUCCACCUUUGCUUCCUCUUUCGGAAUGGCUUUCGGCAUGGAAAUAUCAACAAUGGGUCAGGCCAUGCAGCUCCAUGCCCGGGUACUCAAGUCGGGACCCGAAAACCAAACCCAUGCCCAAAACCUCAGCAAGCUUUUCACUUUCUCAGCUCUUUCAUCUUCAGGUGACCUCACUUAUGCCCGCCACAUUCUCACCACUCUCCAAACCCCAAAUUCAUACUACUACAACACCAUGAUUCGUGCUUACUCGGACUCUACCGACCCAAACCGGUCUCUUAGCCUUUUCCUUUCAAUGCAUUGCCGUGAAGAACCCGUUGUACCUGGACCCGACAAGUUCACUUAUCCGUUUGUCCUUAAGGCUUGUUCGAAGUUGCGACAUGCCCAGCUCGGGAAACAGAUUCAUGGGCUGAUUUUAAAGUCGGGUUUAAUGUCGGAUCGCUAUGUGAACAAUGCACUUAUUCACAUGUACUCACCGACCCGACCCGGUCUAUUUGCCUUUUCCUUGCCAUGCACUGCCGUGAAGAAACCCUCAUACCUGGACCCGACAAGUUUACGUACCCGUUUGUCCUUAAGGCUUGUUCGAAGUUGCGAUAUGCCCAGCUCGGGAAACAGAUUCAUGGGUUGAUUUUAAAGUCGGGCUUAAUGUCGGAUCGUUAUGUGAAUAAUGCACUUAUUCAUAUGUACUCGGGUUGUGUUGAUUCGAGUCUUGCGUUGAAACUGUUUGAUGAAAUGUCUGACAGAGAUGUAGUUUCUUGGACCUCGAUGAUUGAUGGGUUUGUGGAUAAUGAUCGACCUAUUGAAGCUAUUGGGUUGUUUGAGCAAAUGAUGAAUAAUGGAGUGGACCCGAAUGAAGCGACUCUUGUUUCAAUACUUAGAGCUUGUGCUGACACUGGAGCAUUGAGUAUUGGGAAAAAAGUUCAUAACUUUGUUAAGGAACGGAAUCUUAGUACAAAGGCUAAUGUUGGUACUGCACUUAUUGACAUGUAUGCAAAAUGUGGGUGUAUAGAAAGUGCUAAGGAAGUAUUUAAGGAAACAAUGGAAAAGGAUGUUUAUGCUUGGACAGCAAUGGUAUCCAGUCUUGCAAGUCACGGUCUUUCAGGAGAGGCCAUGGAACAUUUUGAGCAGAUGAAGAGUUGUAAUGUAAAACCGGAUGAAAGAACGAUGACUGCCGUUUUAUCAGCUUGUAGGAAUGCUGGUUGGAUUGGUAAAGGAUUGUAUCAUUUAAGGAGUAUGAAGAAGUACAAGUUAAGACCGACAAUUCAGCAUUACGGAUGCAUAGUGGACACUUUUGUGCGUGCUGGCCAGUUAGAAGAGGCCGAACAGUUUAUAAGGAAGAUGCCAAUUGAUCCAGAUGUCGUGCUAUGGAGGACGUUGUUAUGGGGUUGUAAAAUUCAUGGAGAUGUUGAAAGGAGUGAACGACUAAUGAAGGACGACGAACUUUUGAAAAUGGAUUCUCGUGAUUGCGGGAGUUACGUACUUCUUGGGAAUGUCUAUGCAGCCUUGGGAAAUUGGAAGGAGAAAGCGAAGAUGAGAGAGUUUAUGAAUCAAAGAGGGCUAGUCAAGACACCAGGAUCCAGUAGGAUUGAGAUUGAUGGGUUGGUCCAUGAAUUUACAGCUGGAGAUUCUAGACACGUAGAAGCAGAAAAUAUUUAUGCAAAGUUGGAUGAAAUAGAGCAGAAUGCUAGAAGGGAAGGUUAUGAUCCCAAAAUCUCAGAGGUGUUACUUGAAAUAGACGAUGAUGAGAAAGCAUCUCAGCUUCUAAACCAUAGUGAGAAACUUGCAGUCUCGUUUGGACUUAUCAAAACAAAUCCAGGAACUGUCAUUCGGGUAGUGAAAAACCUAAGAUCUUGUGAGGACUGUCAUUCUUUCAUGAAACUAAUCUCGAAGUUAUACAAAAGAGAGAUCAUCAUUAGGGAUCGUAUCCGUUACCAUCACUUUAGGGGUGGUGAAUGUUCUUGCGGAGAUAGAUGGUGAUUGUAGUUGUCACUGAAAAACAAUAGUUUAAUUUUCACAUUCUUGAAGAACACGGCUGUUGACAUACCUGCUGCUUCGGCUCUAGAACUUUCUGUAACUGCUGAAUGUUGCAUCCACAUUUUGGCAUCAAUGACCUCAGUUAAAUCUCUCAAUCGCUUAUUUCACCAGUGCAACCAACAUAAAAAGAAUAUAGUGAGUAUAGAGCUGCCAAGGCAGUUACAAAGGAAACAGAGGUACAAGAAAGUCUAAUCACAAUUCUUAAGAAGUUAGAGACAAUAGACCCAAUGAGGCUCAGGCCUUCUUUGGACCCAGCAUAUAGUGGGAGCUUAGAGCACCGUGCUGCUGUUUAAUCUUUAAGAUUCUGUAUUCUGAAAUUCGAUAAAGAUAAUUAUCUUAUUUGUUUGUCUCCCCUAUUUGACUGUGCAUCGUUAUUACAUGCAACUUAGCACUGUUUUGGUCGCUAUCACUGUGGUGAGUGCUUGUUAAUGAAGAUCCAGUUUCUAAACUUGAGAAUCAUAGAUAUGUAAAGGUGGGUGCUCCAGUUUGUAAAAGCAGAGAUAUGUGGAACAAUGACUAAAUACUAUUUGGGGAGCUACCACAAAUGUCAACUUUUCGUUUUUAUUUUCACAUUGCUGAUACAUUAAAUUAACAGCCAUAUGCCUGCAAAGAUGACACUCUGCUUUUAUUAAUUGUCACAGGAGACAAGAUAACUUAAAAAUGGCCUUGAAGAUGAUAAAACUGGAGGCUCCAUUUCCAUUUAUCAGCAAUUUUACAUAUAAAUACAGCAUAAAGUUGAGAUUAAGGAUAUUAAUACUCUUUAAAUUAAAGCUCCCAAGAGGUUGGCCUGGUCGAAAGAGUUGGAGUAACAAUCAUGGAAAGCAAAGUCAACGAAAAUAGGUGAAUUCUUUUACUAUGUGCAAGUCUUAGUCGACAAAAUUAGGAUAUAAUGUUAGUGGUUUAGUGGCUGGCCCUGUAUUGUCAUCCGAUUGCAAUUCCUUUUAUUAUUUAUAUUGCUUUCAGUUACAAGCUUUCUUAUAGACUUUCAUCAGACAUAUCCUUAGUCAAAUGUUAGUCACUAGUUUAGUCGGGUCGAUCGAUUUAAAUAAAAGUUGUGAGAAUUUAUAUAGUCGACACCAACUUGUUUGAGAUUGAUGCAUAAUUAUUGUUGUUGUUGGUGGUGCUAAUAGGCUAUGAGGAAAUAUGGCGGGAUGGAUGGGAUUAAUUUUUAUAUCCUCAACUAGAGAUCUCGAGUUCGAAGUCAAGAAAUUUAAAAAUUCUAAUAGUGAAUACUUUGCUCUUAAAUGGGUACUAUACAAACGCGAAUCUGGAUUGAUCGGAUCACUGAGGUGCGGAUACCAUAUGGUUAUACAAAAAGAUUAACACACUUUUCUUCUUCUUCUUUUGGUAUAUAAAUGAUACUAUUAGUAUUUGACAUGCAUGCAUUCAAGUCUUUGUAUUUGAAGACUUAGCUAGCGUUUGGCCAUAGAUUCUAAAUUUAUUUUGAAAAUCUGAUCUGGGUGAAGUUUGGUUUAAAGAUGAAAAUAUAUUUGGACAUACGUUUUCAAAAUAUAUUCUCCAAUUUUAUUUUGAAAAAACAUGUAUAUAAUUCCCAAGUUUUGAGAUUUUAGAAUUUGAAAUUUUUGAUUUGGGAUUUGGCCAAAAUAUGAGCAACAUUUUUGGCCAAACAUGAGUUUUAAAAAUAAAUCUUAAAUUUAUUUUGACAAAAAUUAUGGUCAAACAGGCCUUAAUAUGAUCUUAUUAUGAUCUUUGUAUAAAUGUACCCGGAAUAAUAAAUUUAGCAAUAUUUUGGUAUGCAAAGUCUAAUAAGUCAAUGUGUAUUACCACUACCUCACUUUUUAAAAUCAUUAAUCAUGUAAUCAACUGAUUUCACGGUUUGAUGUCAUUUUCUCUUAUUUUGUGCUAAAUCAGAAUAGGUUUGCAGUCACGAACAAAUUUAAGACUUUAAUAACAUAUAGUACUAGAUUAAUCACUCGUGAAUCAAAAGUUAUUAAGUGGAUGAUCUCGUUUGUCAAAUUCAGUAGUCGUAUCAUUUUAGUAAUAUGUCAUUUUCAAUCAUUUCAACAAAUAUGAAUUUGGUGAGAAAUCAACAAAUGAAGAACCCUAGAUUAGGAUCAGAGAAGAGGGAGAAAAGAGGAGCUUCGUGAAAAUGUCUUUCAUUGAAGAAGAAAUGAAACAGUUGGUUUACAGUUAUACAGUGAAUUAUGUAUACGUAUAAAAUUUAUUGGAUCUAAUUCAUAUAAAAUUUGGAUUAAAUUCAAUUAGCUAAAUAAUUAAUUUGGGCUUUACAAGUUCAAUUAGCCUAUUUUAUUAUUUUUCGGCCCAAAAUCCAUUUCAUCUUAAGGUCUAGACUCAUGCCAUGUGACAUGGCAUAUCCAGUCAAACUCUAGCCCAAUAAGAUGACUCCACGUAUUAAAUGAUGUGGCAAUCCAAGUCAAAAAGCAAGAACCAACCACAAGUAGCCAAGUGGCUAAAAUGACACGGGCCAAUCAAAAUCAAGCAAGAGAGUCUUAUGUAACUUGACUGUCCAUCCUCUACAACUAUAAAUAGAUGGGUUACGUAACUCUCAAGGGACAUUGAGAGUUGGAGAAGAACACUCCGCAAUUGGUGAAGACAUCCACAAACAGAGAGAUCAAUCAUCAAGUGUUUAGUUCUUCGACAAAGGAGUGAUCAACAGAGUUCUUCCCGGAGAUCAACCCAUAACAACAAAGUGCUGCUAAACGUUCUUGGAGAUUAAAUACAUCACAAGGAGGUCCGCAUCAUCCUACAUUCGAGAAAGACGCUUCUCAAGCCCUCGAAUCACGGAGAAUUUUAGAGAGGAAAAUCAAGGAAUACAUAGAAUUAUAUUCACAAAUAUUUAUCAAUAAAAUCUCUUUUAAUUUACAUUAUUUUUGUUACAGUUUAUUUUUCUUUCUUACGAAAAUUUAUUGCAAAGACUAUCGGUGGGACUUUGCAUGAUUUGAUUAAUAUCUAUUCUAAGUCUAAGACGAUGGUUGUAGAAUCAGAGUUUGCAUACCAUGCUUUUUAGCUUUUGACUGGGAUUUCUCAUGUUUAUUGUAAUGGUUUUAAUAAAAAUAUUUUAUCUAUUUACUACCGAAAUGCCCGGUAAUCCCGCCAUUUUAGCUACUAAAUUUAAUUUUUAUAGUAUGACCACUUGUUUUGUUCAAACAUUCAUGGAUAUGAUUACUACAGUAUCUAUAGUACAUGCAGGAACGAACAAAAACUAAGCAAAUUUCUAGUAAAAACUAAUAGUACUCACAAUUAUUUAUCAAUAAAUCUCUUUUUCUUACUAUUAUUUUUGUUGCAGUUUGUUUUUCAUCUCACGAAAAUUUGUUGUGAACAAAUUUUGGCACGCCCAGUGGGGCCAAUUCUGCCCUUCAUAUCUCUUUCUUGCAAGUUGAAAACUACAAGCUUCAGAUAUACUGCUACAAUGGCCUUCCGCAAGUUUGAUGUUCCAUGCAAAGAUGCUACUAUUGCCGCAUCCGCUGAGCUCAGUCAUGUUGGACCAAUCACUCGAAGCAAGUUCAAGGCUAGAGGUUUAGAUGGAUCCGAAUACUUCGCCUCCUUGGAGAAGGCAAAGAAGAGCAAAUCUCAUAUGAUGUUUGCAACUGCAAUCACUGGGGGCAACGCCCCAUUCUCGAUGUUUGACGAGCUUUCUCAAGCAGCUUCAAACCUUGGCGGAUUUGAAAAUUUGGUAGAUUGUUCAGUUUCAACGAAAGUCAACGCCUUGAUGACUGAUGCAAUUAGCGUGGAUGAAAAAUUUUCCAUGAUAGAAUAGACCAUAGAGGUCUUGAAGAAAUCUAUUGAGGACAAAGACCUUCAAAUCGCUCAACUCAUGAACAAAUUUGAGACCUAUGUACCAGGAGAGUCAAGCCACGUCCCUCCUCGUUUACCUGUUUUCACCUCUCCAAUGACAGCUAUUGAGGAAUUAUUUGCCAAGUUCAACAUUCAAAAGAAAAAGCAAUUCACUUCAGUUGCGGCAUUAUCUGUUCAACAAUUGCAAGACAUGAUAACAAACACACUCAAAGCUCAAUAUGGUGGACCAUCGCAAAGUUCGUUGUACUACUCUAAGCCUUGUACUAAGAGGAUUGACUAUCUAACCAUGCCCACAAAUUAUUAACCACCAAAGCUACAUCAAUUUGAUGGUAAAGGGAACCCAAGGCAACAUAUUGCACACUUUGUCGAGACUUGUAGCAAUGGGGGAACACAUGGUGACCUUUUGGUAAAAUAAUUUGUUCAUUCUCUAAGAAGGGAACGUAUUUGACUGGUAUAUUGACUUGUAGCUCGAGUCCAUUGAUAGUUAGGAGCAACUUGAGAAGGAAUUCCUCAAUUACUUUUAAAGUACCCGAUAAAUUGUAAGCAUGAUAGAGUUGACAGGCACCAAGCAAAGGAAAGACGAGCCCGUGGUAGAUUACAUUAAUAGUUGGAGGGCGUUAAGUUUGUACUGCAAAGAUCGCCUUUCAGAGAUAUAUGCUGUGGAGAUGUGCAUUCAAGGAAUGCACUGAGACCUUUUGUACAUUCUACAAGGGAUCAAACCGCGAACUUUUGAAGAACUUGCAACACAAGUGCACGACAUGGAGUUAAGCAUCACAAAUCAUGGAAAGGCAUCUCCAUUUUCUGAUCAGAAGGAGUUCAAAAAAAAUGUUGCAUCAAAGCACCAAACCAAAGAAUCCAUGGCGGUGAAAGCAACUUCCGUGAAAGUCACAACUAAGCAAAAGGUGGAAGAGGAUAAGACCCCAAGUCAAUAUCCCAAAAAGGAGAAACACCGUCCCACCUUGAAGGAAUUGGAGGCUAAGGUUUAUCCAUUUCCAGAUUCAGAUGUACCCACAAUCCUUGAUGAACUUCUGGACAAGAAAGUCAUCGAGCUCCCUGAAUCAAAAAGUCCAGAGGAAAUUGGCAAUGUUGGCAAUCCGAAAUACUGCAAGUUUCAUCGCGUCACUAGCCACCCUACAGAGAAAUGCUUCAUCUUGAAGGAGAAAAUUAUGGCUCUUGUAAGUGAAUAAAAACCAUCAUAGACAUGGACGAAACAUUAGAAGCAAAUCAUGCAAGUAUCGCACUCAAGGAAAAGAAGUGUUCAAAGUUGCAUAACGUGCCAAGCACUGCCUUCUUACAAUUUGGAGGUUUCGAGCCCAUUGAAGUUACUCUUCCAAAGAAAACUCUUGAAGGUUCACUAAAGCUAUACAAUCACUCCAAAGACAAAGACGAUGAGGGUUGGAUUCUAGUCACUCACAAAAAGCGAAGACAUCAGCCAGUUUUGAGGCUAAAAUUCCUAAUUCAGGAGCGAUGAUGAGCAAUGCAGAUAGGCUACAACCACCAAGAAAUAUCAAAUAUUCUACUAGAAAGAAUAUUAACAGUGUCGUAUCGCCGAAGUUCCGAAAGCCCGUCAUAUUGCAUGAAUUCUUUCCUAAAAAAUUCUUUCAUGGAGCUCAUGUUAGUGCAACUAAUGUAGUUUCUAGUACUGACGAAACAAAGGGAAGCAACAAUGAGCUUGCUCCAACAAAAAUACAAGAUCAUCAUGAUAACAAAAAAUUUGUUACAUGUUUUGCAACAAUUUCCUUCACGGAUAGGGUCUAAACCACAUAAAACCUUUGUUUGUUGUAGGGUCCAUUCGGAACAACAUCUCAAUCACAUACUUGUUGAUAAUGGCUCGGCUGUCAACAUCAUGCCAAAGAAGGUGUUAAAAAUGCUUGGGAUAUCUAUCGAUGAGCUAUCCAAAAGUAACCUAACAAUCCAAGGUUUCAACCAAUAAGGACAACGAGCCAUAGGUAUGAUCCGUGUAGGAUUAUCCAUUGGUGAGAUGAAUUCAAACACCCUGAUUCACGUCAUAAAUGAUAACACGUCAUAUAACUUGUUGCUUGGAUGUCCUUCAAUUCAUGAGAAUGGGGUGGUAUCAUCUACCUUGCAUCAAUGUCAAAAGUACAUAAGAGAUGGUGAGAUAGUCAAAAUUGAUGCAGACAUCAAGUCGUUCACUUAGACGGAGUCAUACUUUGCAGAUGCAAAAUUCUACCUAGAUUCUUGUGAACUAAAAGUAGAGAAACCAUCAUCAGAUGACGAAGUUGGUGUCUGGUUAAAAGAGGAAAAUGAGGCUCAAUGGACUACUACUAAGCUGCCUAAGAACGGAACGGAAGAAGUCUCCAUUAAGCUAUCAUCAUCUGAAGGUGACAUACAGACAAAGACUGAGAAGCAUUUGGUUUUUUGCUAUGUUCCACGCGAGCGUCGAUAGAAAGGGCAACCUUUUCUAAAGGAAUGUACUCCAAAGAAGCAAAUAAGUCACAAAGAUAUCCAACAUUUGAAGGAGCAUAUGACUAUGCCAGUUUCAAAAAUCCCAUCCGUGACUGGUGAGUCUGCUAAAAGCAAUUCCCAAGCUGAUAAAAUAAAAGGGCACUAUGAUCCUAAGGCCUCCAUACUGCUUGAAAAGUCUGGUUAUGACUUCGCCAAUCCAUCACAAUUAGGAGAACUCAAAGACAAAGUCACUGAUGAAAAUAUACAUGGGCUCAAUGAGUCUCAAAUGAAGUUAAGAAAGCAAGGGCACUACGUCUCCACUCCAAAGUAUGGAUUGGGAUUUCGUGUGGCAGAGCCUCUUCAAAUUUCAUCUAAGAGAAUCAAAGAGAUAGCUUCAUCACAAAACACCUUGGUGGACAAGAUGAAGGAAGUUAAGGGCAAGAAAUUAAAAUAACAGACUUUAGUGUUCGAUCGCAUAGGAGGCUCAACCCCUCGAGUCUCACUGUUUGAAAGGUAAAGUCACAAAGAUGAGCAUGUAUCUUCCAAACAUCUAAAUGAAGUUUUCAAUACCUUAAGGACCUCUGUAUUUUGUUUCUUGGGAACUAUAAGGAAGUCACCAUCUAUAAAUAUACUAGCAAAACAUAAGGAUCAACUCCAUGAGGAGCGAGAUCAUUUUGAAGUUGUUGCUAACAAAGAAAUCUGUAGUGCUUUCCCAUCACGUAUGGAGAGGAAGUCUAUUUUGUCAAUAUCCACAGAUGGUCCACUGAAGGUGCAAAGGAGAACCAUUGUUUACACUUGCCAGGCUCGUAAAGAAGCAGAGAAAGAGAAAGAAGCCAUGCCGACUAUCCAAGGAAGUCAAACAGAAAAGUCAUACUUUGUGGAAACAUCCUACACAUAAUUGUGGAAGAUAGCCCAUGCCUUGACGUUGAUGAUGAAGUACAUGAGGCUCCCCCUCAACUAGAAGAUAGCGGACAAUCAAUGGUGGAUGAGCUUAAGGAACUCAAUUUAGGCACAUCGGAAGAUCCAUACCCUACCUUCAUUAUUGUGCUUCUUACGCCUAAAGAGGAGGAAAAAUUACUCCAAGUUCUUUGUGGAAACAUCCUAUCACAUAACUGUGGAAGAUAGCCCAUGCCUUGACAUUGAUGAUGAAGUACAUGAGGCUCCCCCUAAACUAGAAGAUGGCAGACAAUUAACAGUGGAUGAACAUAAGGAACUCAAUUUAGGCACUCCAGAAGAUCCAUGCCCCACCUUCAAUAGUGCGCUUCAUACGCCUAAAGAGGAGGAAGAAUACUCCAAGUUGCUGACCGAGUACAAAGAUGUCUUCGCUUCGUGAUAUAAAUAAAUGCCUGGUCUUAGUCCUAAAGUAGUUGUUCAUCAUUUAGGGAUCAAAAGUUGAGUACGCCCUAUGAAGCAAUCAUAACGAAUGUUUCGACCCGAGCUUGUAUCAAAAAUUGAAGUCGAAGUCAACAAGCUCAUCGAGGCGGGAUUUAUUCGAGAGGUGAAGUACCCAUCAUGUAUAUCGAAUAUUGUACCUAUCAAGAAGAAGAAUGGUCAAAUAUGUGUUUGUGUUAACUUUCGAGACAUAAACAAGGCAUGUCCUAAAGAUGACUUCCCGCUACCAAUUAUUGAAAUCAUGGUGGAUGCUACAAUAGGGCAUAAAGUUAUGUCAUUCAUGGAUGGGUCCUCGGGAUACAAUCAAAUCAGAAUGCCUCCAAAAGAUGAAGAGUGCAAUGCUUUCCAAACUCCAAAAGGGAUAUAUUGCUAAAAAGUGAUGCCCUUCGAUCUGAAGAAUGCUGGUGCAGCCUACCAACACGAGAUGCAAAACAUCUUUGAUGACGUGCUUCAUAAGAGGGUUGAAUGCUACGUCGAUGACUUAAUGGUGAAGACGAAGAGUAGGCGUUACCACCUUGAAGACCUUCGAAUUGUUUUUGAAAGGUUAUGAAAAUUCGACCUGAAGAUGAAUCCACUCAAGUGUGCAUUUGGAGUUACCUCAGGAAAGUUUCUAUGCUUCAUCGUGCGUCAUCGUGGAAUUGAAGUUGAUCCUACAAAGGUUGAUGUCAUUCAGAAAAUUCCCAAGCCAAAGAACUCGAGGGAGCUUCGAAGUCUCCAAGGAAACUUAGCAUUCAUCCGGAGGUUCAUCUCUAAUCUAGCCGGACGGUGUCAACCCUUCAAUCAUCUAUUGAGAAAGAAUAUCCCUUUUCAUCGGGAUCAGUCAUGUCAAAGUGCUUUUGAAAGCAUCAAAAUAUACUUGCUGAAUCCACCUAUUUUAGGGGUAGUGUCAACCCUUCAAUCAUCUAUUGAGUAAGGAUAUCCCUUUUCAUUGGGAUUAUUCAUGACAAAAUGCUUUUGAAAGCAUCAAAACAUACUUGCUGAAUCCACCCGUGUUAGGGGUGCCAAUGCUUGGGAAGCCGUUGAUACUUUACAUCACAGCAUAGGAACAUUCACUUGGAGCACUACUUGCUCAAGAGAAUGAGGAAGGAAAGGAACAAGCAUUGUACUACCUUAGUCGAACUCUAAUAGGAGCUGAGUUGAACUAUACGCCUAUUGAGAAAAUAUGCUUAGCGUUAGCAAUAAAGAAGCUAAGGCAUUAUUUUGAAGAAUACACCAUCAAACUCAUCUCUCGAGCAGAUCCCGUGAAGUUUGUGAUGACUCGAUCUGUUCUUUCUGGACGCCUAGCAAGAUGGUCCAUGUUGUUUAACCAAUAUGAGAUCACAUAUACACCUCAAGAAGCUGUGAAAGGAAAAGCACUAGCCAAUUUUCUAACUGAUCACCCUCUUUCGGCAGAAUAGGAGCUUUCAGAUGAGUUCCAGAUGAGGACGUUUUGUUCAUCGAAGAAUUGCCACCAUGGACAAUGUUCUUUGAUGGAUCUUCACGUCGUAAUGGUUCGGGGGCAGGUGUUGUGUUGAUCUCUCCAGAAAUACAAGUCUUGUCAUUCUCCUUUGUUUUAAGUGAAACAUGCUCCAACAAUGCUACAGAGUACCAAGCUUUGGUCGUCGGUCUCGAAAUUGCAUUACAAAUGUAGAUUCUUUAGUUGGAGAUCUAUGACGACUCUAAGCUGAUCAUCAACCAACUUUUGGGGAGUUAUGAGGUAAAGAAGGAAGAUCUAUUGUCAUACCAUGAAUAUGCUUAUGGUUUACUAGAAAAAUUUGAUCGAGCGUUCUUAAACCACGUCCCAAGAGAAGAAAAUCGCAAGGCUGAUGCUUUGGCUAACUUGGCAACGACGAUUGCACUUGGAGAGAAUGAUUAAACAAAGGUAUAUGUAUUUCAUCGAUGGGUUAUUCCUAGACUUCUGGAUCUUCAAGUCAACGAGAGCCAUCAUAUGCCUGUUCGAGUGAUUGAAGAAGAAUAUUGGAGGCAACCGCUGAUAGAGUACAUUGAACAUGGAAAGUUACCUCAAGAUCCACGAAAAAUAACAAACAUCAAGCAAAGAGCACCACGAUUCAUCUUUUAUAAGGGGACAUAGUUUCACCGCUCUUUUGAAGGACUAUUAUUACGAUGUCUUGACAAAGAAUAAGCCCGCCAAGCAAUGGAGGAAGCACAUGCUGGCUCAUGUGGAGCACACCAAUCUGGUCCUAAUCUCCAGUUUCGCAUCAAGAGGAUGGGCUACUACUAGGCGACGAUGGUGAAGGAUUGCAUAGGUCAUGCCAAAAGAUGUCCAGCUUGUCAAUUUCAUGCAAACUACAUCUACCAACCUCCAGAGCCUCUUCACCCAACUGUAGCUUCAUGGCCUUUUGAUGCAUGGGGACUCGAUGUUUUUUGGACCACUUCCAAAGUAAUCAAAGGGACAAAUGUACAUAUUGGCCGCUAUGGAUUACUUCUCUAAAUGGGCGGAAGCUGUUCCACUCAAGGAGGUGAAAAAGGAAACUGUUGUCGAUUUUAUCAAAUCAUAUAUAAUUUUUAGGUAUGGUAUACCAAUAUACAUAAUCACUGAUAAUGUAACGGCAUUUGACAAUAAGCUCGUAAAGAGUCUAUGCGAGAAGUUCAGUUUCAAACAACAUAAGUCUUCAAUGUAUAAUGCACCUGCCAACUGCGUCGCUAAAGCUUUCAACAAGACAAUUGUUAACCUUUUGAAGAAAUUUGUUUCAAAGAACAAGAUAGACUGGCAUGAGAGAAUUGGUAAAGCUUUGUGGGCAUACCGGACAAUAUUCAGAACUGCUACACAAGCAACUCCUUACUCUUUGGUAUAUGAUGUGGAAGCAGUCCUUCCAUUUGAGAAACAAAUUCCAUCACUAUGGAUAGAAAUCUAAGAAGGAUUCACUUCCGAAGAGAAUGCUCAACUUUUCCUAGCAGAGUUAGAGGCAUUGGAUGAGAAAAGAUUGGAAGCGCAACAAAAAUUGGCGGGCUAUCAAGCUCGACUAGCUAGAGCCUUCAAAAAGAAAGUGUGGCCACGAUCAUUCCAAGUGGGAGACUUAGUCCUAGUUGUUCGAUGACCCAUAAUCCUCAACAAACGCAUAGGUGACAAGUUUACCUCAAAAUGGGAUGGUCCAUAUGUUGUGAAGGAAGCCUAUUCAAAAGGCACAUACAAAAUUGUUGAUAAGGAUGAUCUCAAAGUUGGUCCGAUCAAUGGAAAAUUUUUGAAGCAGUACUUUCCAUGAAAAUCACCCACGCUCCUUGACUUAUGAGCCUAAACUGCAAUUCAUGCUGCUCCUUGAUGCAUGAGCUUAAAUUGCACAUUGCUACACUCCUGGCCCGCAUGAGUCUAAACUGUGUACAACAAAAAAAAAGAGUCUGCUAGGUUGAAAACCUCGAAAGAGGCGGCCUAGGCAAAAGGAAAGAAAAAAAAAGUCUGCUAGGUUGAAAACCUCGCGAGAGGCGGCCUAGGCAAAAAUUAGGACAUAAAGGCAAAAAAAAAACCAUCCCUCUUAACUAUGUUAUGACUUGAUCCUCUUCACUGAGGUACAUAGGCAGCUUAGAGUUUCAUUCUAACUUCAGUCGCAUGAGUUUUAAAAAAAUUAAAAUUUGGUGUCAUCGGAUCAUUACAUUAAUUCUUCCAAGUGUAGAGGCACAUAUCUAUGAGGAAAAAAGACAAUUUUCUUUGAAGUAUAAAUGAUGUUUUAUUGCUUCUAUAAUACAAAAGUUGAUAAAUAAAAAAAAAAGUAGAGACAAAAGGAAUUAGACGUUUUCCUAUUCAAAAGCUUAGUCAUGAAAAUAAUCGUAAACUAGGCUUUGUGGACAACUCGUCUUGAAUUCUUCAAGUCCAUACGAUGUCUCCACAUUUUAAUACUCUAUCCUCCAUGCCUCGUAUAUAAGAACUCACCUCUCUUGAAAAAAUCUUCAAUGACCACGGGAGCCGCCAUUGAUAAAUUGCGAUAUCGUCAACACAUCAAGUGCAAAAGUUGGUGAAGGGUGACUCUACAUCUUAUGUGACAUCUCAUACUGAUAUCUGGACUCAUCGAACUUCAUCGCAAGUCAGCAAAAGAAAUAAACAAAGAGAUAAGAUUCGUGAUGAUAGCCGAAUCCAUUACAAGACCGUAAAAUCAACUUCAAAAAUAUUUUUUAGGUUAACCAAGAAUGAGUGGAGUUCCAUCUUCAAGGAUACUAUAGUUAUCGACGUCCGAAUUUCACAGGAUCAAACUGUUGGUGAUGUCGAUGUUCCCAGUUCAAGAUACAAUUUUUCUAGCCAAAAGCACGCAAACCUGAAAGUUCCCUGCGGUCAGUUUGAUUUUCAAUAUUUUUUUUGUUUCUAGGACGCGAAGAGUUUCGAGAUGGAAUUUUUGUAUGUUGCAGCUCUAGGACUUUUCUUUCCAACAAAAUAAACGGAUUGUAAUUUCGAUACUCCUAGCUCAAGAUACAACUAUUUUUGCUGAAGGUACGCAAAUAUAAAAGUUCAUUGCAGUUAAGUCGACGUCUCAAAUUUUCUGUUGAUAGCCCCUAAGGAGUUCUGCCAUGAAAUUUAUGGUUCCUUCAGGUCUCUAAUUUUUCUUCUAACCGCACAAAACAGAUUGAUUCUGACACUUGUAGCUCAAGAUAUGACUUUUGUUGCCGGAACUACACGAAUCUGAAAGUUACUGCAGCUAGGUGGACUUUGGGAAUUUUAUAUUUCUAGAUCGAAAAGAGUUCUGCCAACUACUCAUAUGUAUUGCAGCUCUAUGAUUGUACUUUCAAAAGGAGCAAGAGGAUCACAAUUUGGAGUCUCCUAGCUCGAGAUAUGAAUUUUUCCACCAUAGCGCUCAAAGCUGAAAAGCAAUUUUGCGGACAGAUGGGUCAAGUUACUGCGGACAAUAUGCUAGGAAUUCUUCUAUGAUAUCUUGAAGACUUAAUUAUCUCUGAGUCUUCUUUCCAAUAGCGCCGACGUCUCACAAUUUGGAUACUCCUAUCUUGAGAUAUGCGCGUUCCAAUGAUAACAUAUAGUAUUGUUAAGCCGAAAUGACAGACUUGUGCAUCGCCUUCAAAAGUUCAUUAGUUUUGGAUAUAUCACUGUAGUGAAGUUUUGUAGAAUCAAGCGGACUGCAGUUUGGAUACUCCUAGGUCUAGUUACGGUUUAUUUUUUCAAUGCGAGCAUGGAAUGCUAUGAAGUCAAAACAGCGGAGACGCGCCAAGUGCUUGCUCGUCGAAGUUGGAAAAGCCUACUCCAAUUGUCUUGCUCGCCAGCCUGCAACAAUGCGAUAUAGUACAUGUCACACUCACCACUGAUGAAAUAUGGUCUCUCUAAGUCGCCAAGGGUAUGGAUUUGCUCGGCGAGGUUGAAAAGACACUUCAUGUGUCAUUAUCGCUGAGCCGCAACAAAGAGACUAGUGGUUUUCUUGCAAUUCAUCUUCCUGGGGAUAUUUAACGGGACGAGGUAAUGUACAAUUUCUUUUAGUAUUAACUGACUAUUUUUCCAAGUGGGUAGAAGCAGGUGCAUUCACCCAAAUAUGCGAGCAAGAAGUGAUCACAUUCAUGUGGAGGACAUUAUAUGUUGCUUUCGCAUUCCCAAAGAAUUCAGUUAUGACAACGGGUCCCAGUUCACUAGGAAAAUAGAUCGCCGAGUUCUUCGAAAAAUGGCACAUCAAAAAAUACUCUCCGCGUCAUAUCACCCCGUAGGAGACGGUUAGGUGGAGUCCUCCAACAAAUUAAUAUUGAAUAUUAUGAAAAAGAAGCUCGAGAAUGUUGAUGGACGAUGGUUAGAAUUGCUGCCGGAAGUGCUGCCGGAAGUGCUAUGGGUGUACAACAUAAUACCCAAAACAAGCACAUGAGAAACACUAUAUUCGCUAGUUUAUGGAACUGAUGCAGUAACAUAGGUCGAGGUCGGAGAACCAAAUCUGAGAUAUUCACACGAGAGCGGACCGAUUAUGACAAAAGUAGGACUAAAGAUAUCGAUGAGGUCGGUAAGCGAAGAGAUAUGGCUUACAUAAGGAUGGUCGCUCAAAAACAACAAGCGGAGUGAUUUUUAUAUAAAAAAGCCAAGGUCAAUCCACUCAAAGUAGGGGAUCGUACAAAGCCAGAAGACAGGCAAGUAAGGAACCACGAGAAGGCAAACUAGGGACUAAACAGCAGCAAACAAAGUGUUAUUCCAACUAGAAACAAUGGAGAGGAAGUUAUUGCCGAACAACUAGAAUGUCACUCAACUCAAAAACUUUAACUUCUAUGAAAAAAAAUGUUUUCCAGGUCGUACUCUUUUUUCAUCACCUGAGUUUUGUCCCAAAUGAGGUUUCUCAGGAGGUUUUUAACGAGGCGACAUCUCGAAGCUUAAGGCUCGAGUGAGAUAGAUUGUUGUCACGCCCCAAUCAGAGGGGCAUGGCCGGCACUCAACCGGGUAUCCCCAGUCGAGUAGACCUGGGUGCCUUUCCUAUUUCACUCGCGUUCCCCCACUUAAUUCUUUGUUAAUUAACCAAAAGAUGCCAAAUUUGCAAUUGAAAAAACAUAUGAUUUCUCUUUUAUAAACACACAUUAUGAUUAACAGGGGACAUCCUUUACAAAGCAUACAUUAUGAUUAAUGGGGAAUGUGGUGAACAAUUUUACAUCGCCCAAAACAUACACCUUUAUACAUAAGUUCUAACCCACAUAACACUGUCUACGGAGUCUCUAAGAGAAGAAUAAUGCAAAACUUUGCUGGCGACAAGGCCCCAGCUAUACCUUUACAAAAGGACACAAGACUCCAAAAUACAACAACAUGGGUGGCAUUAGCCACACAAGGCCCCGAAAGGAAAGGGGCUCAAUGGGGAAUGUGGUGAACAAUUUUACAUCGCCCAAAACAUACACCUUUAUACAUAAGUUCUAACCCACAUAACACUGUCUACGGAGUCUCUAAGAGAAGAAUAAUGCAAAACUUUGCUGGCGACAAGGCCCCAGCUAUACCUUUACAAAAGGACACAAGACUCCAAAAUACAACAACAUGGGUGGCAUGAGCCACAGAAGGCUCCGGAAGGAAAAGGGGCUCACCAAACACGAAUACCGCCUAUAGAGAGGAGGAUGAGCUACGAACGGUGGACUGGAAUGCCUGCCAAGAAUCCACCUACAAUCAUAACACCAAUGUAGCGCCCCCCACAAAAGGGACGUCAGUACAUUUGAAUUGCACUGGCAUGUAUGAACAAACUCUGUCCCAAGUAAACUCAAGCCAAAUUAUAUGUACAAGUAUAGAACCGAACAACAAUAGUACAAGUACAACCAUGAGGAAACAACCAACAUUUCGCAACAAAUGAUUCAAAUAGUCAUACAAAGGGGCAAUCAGUGCCCCACAGGUUACAAACUUUCCUGUUAUUUGAACAACAAUGGUACAAGUACAACCAUGGAGCAACAACAAAAUAUUUCACAACAAUGGUUCAAGUAGUCAAACAAAGGGGCAAUCAGUGCCCCACAUGUCACAAACUCUCAUGUUGUCUCCUUCCACAUUUCCACAUUUAUCAUUUCAUGAUUCAUAUUCAUAUCAAUAAUGAUAUUGGAUCAUAUUUUCCACCCUUAUUGCCUCGUCUACCUUUAUUACCUCGGCCACCCUUAUCACCCCAAACCACACCUUAUUUCACCGUGUUACGGCGCACAACCCGACCCGGUCUGAUAGUUUUCAAUUCACAAUAACAAACAUCACAACAACAACAAAUACAAGAAAUCAACUAUGGCACAUUGUUAAAAUAGAUCCACAACAAGGAUAANNNNNNNNNNNNNNNNNNNNNNNNNNNNNNNNNNNNNNNNNNNNNNNNNNNNNNNNNNNNNNNNNNNNUAAAAUAGAUCCACAACAAGGAUAAUGAAAUCCCACAACUAGCAACAACAAUUUCCUCAUGUUCAUCAAAUUGGUACACAAUUUGGAUUAUCACAACAGCUGUUCACAACUAAUCACACAUGAUGUUCCACAUUAUUUCCAUUUCCAUUGUUCCACAUUAUUUCCAUUUCCUCUGUUCCACAUUAUUUCCAUUUCCAUUGUUCCACAUUAUUUCCAUUUCCAUUUUCAUUCCACAACUGGUAUCACAACAUGGUUGGAUCGGGACAAAGACAUGACGUUUAGUGGGUAGAUUUUGAGCAAGAUGGGCUGGCGGCAACGCAAAACUGAGGGAAAAAGUUCUUCCAUUGGAGGCACUCAUCGGAACUGUUGAUAGUGAUCAAUUUUGACUAUUGUGACUCGUCUCGCCUAACUUGAGGCAGAGAUGAACAGACUAAGCCAAGAGUGAACAGAUCUGAAAGCGAAAAAUGUAUUGCUGCAUUGUGAUGUUGGCAAUGAUGAAGCACAGUGUGGGGCAGAUCGUACCAAGGUCAAAAUUCCAGAGCCAAAGGAGUUUAAUGGUGCAAUGAGUGUCAAGAAACUUGAAAUUUUUUCUUGGGAUAUGGAGCAGUACUUUUAGGGCGCCCAUGUGUCAUAUGAAGACAGGAUCACCAUUACAACUAUGUACUCGGUGGACGAUACAAAACUUUAGUGGCGGACGCGCAUGGCAGAUGAUGUAUGUGCUGGUAGGCCAAAAAUUAACUCUUGGCAAUGGCUGAAAAAAUAGUUGAAGGGUCAAUUCUUUCCAAGCAAUGCAGGCUGGAUUGCUAGAGAUCAUUUCAAGAAGUUGAAACAAACUGGAACAGUCAGGGAAUAUGUCAAAGAUUUCAGUUCUUUGAUUCUAGAUAUAAGGAACAUAUAUGAGGAAGAUAAGCUGAACAAUUUCCUUUACGGAUUGCAGUCGUGGGCGCAGAUGGAACUCCGAAGGCAGAAUGUGAAAGACCUUCCUAGUGCCAUCAAUGUUGCGGGUGCGUUGGGUGAUUUUCGGCUAGGACAAGAUGGUUCUGAUUUCAUUACUACUCAAAGCCCAAAAAUGGGAACAAGGACGAGGCAAAAGAGUGGAGAAAAAACGAAAAUGAUAAAGGUAAUGUUGUUGAGGGCAGUGACAGUGGAAAGGAAAAGUAAUGUGCUGGACCUUCGACAAACAAGGGACAAAACAACAAGUUGGAUGGCUAUUUUAUUAGCAAAGGACCACCCAUGUCGAGGGGCUGUCCAAAACUUCAAUGGCUUAUAACUUUGUUUGUUGAAGAAAAAUGUAAAGAUGAGCCGAACAGGGAAGAACAUGAGCAACAAGUGGCAUACUUAGGGCCUAUGGUGAUGCUAAAAAUGCGAAAACUGCUUCAUGGAGGACAACGAAUUCUUCGCAUGUGGGUGGUUUGUUAGCCCCUUGACAAAGUUCCUCGGCAGGUAUGGGUUAUGGCAAGGAUUUUCAUGAUGUCAUUGGCACACAACCUGAAAAAUGGGACAACAUCAUGACGGGUAGCUCGGCAUGACUAUGCGGGAUUGAUAAAUGCACCUUGAACGAAGGCAAAGCACAUUUCACUUGGACGUUCCGGUUGGCAUAACAAUGGCAAAGCAAAGCCAUGUCAAAGUAGGGGCAAAAUAUGGCAAAACAAGGUAAGGCAAUGCGGGACAAGCAAUGACAAUUGAUGUAUACAAAUUUGAUCAAGUCGAGGGCAAAUUGACAUAAGCGAGCAACUGUGGCAAUGGGCGUAUGCUGCUAAGUCAAUGGGCGGCAAGCUAUGGCCAUGACAUUGGGGCGGAGUAGUAUUAAAGGGAAAGGAUGGGCGCAAUUCUAGCCUAGGGCGAGCAGCAGUUUGGCAAAACAGGCACAUGCAGUGCACAAACAAUAGUUACAAAAUGUGUGCUGGGAACAUGACAAGCAGUUGACGGUUACAACCACAUCCAAAACAUGGCUAAAGUGUUGGAACGUUUUUAUAUCAAGUCUUAACAUAUUUGCCCAUUAGUUGGGACUUGUCAACUGAUUGUCUUAUAAGAUGCCAAGUGUAAUUGGGCAGCCUGCACGGUAAAUAAAUGCAUAGGCUGUUCCAAAUGGGCAGAACUUAGUCUUGUGGCAUAUGUGUUAGCCAAAUUUUACCUAAUUAAUUCCUAAGUGUGGGAAAUUCAUUUUUGGGGCAGGGAACUAGGGAGUUUUUGCUUUAGACAUAGGGUUGGCUUAUUGUGCUCUUGUAUUCACGUAUUAAUACGAGUUGGAAAGAAAUUCCUGUAAAUUUGUGUAUGCCUUUACUUAUUUUAUUUGCUGCCUAAAUCAUUCUAUGUCCAAACAUCCCUAAAAUAAAUCUAAGUGUUGGAACUAAGGCUGGGAUUACUGCCGCUCGGAAGUGAACCUCGGGCAGAAUUCGAGUGACAUAAUCACCUCUGUGACAUUAGUUCACACGUGUAAACACAUGAUAUUUCAAGGGAUGAGUCAAACAUAAAAUCAUACAAGAGGAAGUUGUCUCGAAAGCUCUGUAAUCAUUAAGAGAUAUAAUACAAUAAAAACAAAAAUUCAUACGGAUGAUAUAAGCUAGUUGAGUUUAAGCAAGUAUUUGAACAUAAAUUUGAUUGAAACUUGAAAAAAGAAUUUUUUAAGUUGUGUUGAAAAAUAAUUUUUGGACCUUGAAGUUGUAUUUGGACAUGCAUUUUAUUUAAAGAAAAAUUGAAAUUUUAUGAGUGGAAGAAAAGUUUUCACCCAAAAACGUUCAUAAACUAGUUUUUGGGAAUUUAAAAAUUUCUGAAAUAUUUUUCCCAAAAUAAUAAUAUUUUCAAAAAAAAUUCAAAAAAAUAAAGCCAGCAUGUAUGGUCAAACGGGAGCUUCUUAGCAUGUUGGUACACUAUCAUCAGGGCCAGUGCUUAUUAGAAUCUAUUUAAUCAUGUUAAAAAUUUGUAUGUUAGUCCAGACAGAUGUUUAUUUUUGUAAAAGUUAUAGCCUUUUAUUAUUUGAUGAAUUGGCGUUGAGAUAAGGACAACGAGGAAUACGGCACAAUUCAUCUCCAGCAUUAACAUACAAACGACAUCGUACCUCUUCUUCUAACGUAGACGUAACAGUACAACCACACAAAUAUUCAUAGGUUGACAACUUUUCUAAUACUAAACAAAACAAUGUUCCUCAACAUUUACACGAACUAACAAAAGGAAUCAAAUGAAUAAUCUCACACGAGUUGUCUCCUGUUAUAUUAUACAAUUUUUUAGAAUACGUUAUAUGAGUUCAAUUGAAUUUAUUAUUUUCGACUCGAAUUAUGUAUGGACAGUAUUCAAUUAUGGAUAAUAUAUGGCAAAGUAUUGUUGACCAAUUCAAGCACAAACAUCACUUUCAUUCAUCAACGGCUAUUUGGUAUAUUAGUAUGGCAUGAUGCAGCUGGUAUAUAUUUUCUUCUUCUUGUAUCCAAAAACAGAAAGUUCCUUUCAUUUAUGGGGUCUACUGAUGAUGGAGCUUUGCAUUACCAUAUCCAGCUAGCAGAACAAUCCCCCCCUCCCCAACCCCCCAACCAAAUCCCUCACCCUAAAGGCGCAUACACCUUGCUCCAAGCCGUGUCACUUAAUACUGCUUUGCCGAAUAUUUUCAAUAAAUAUAUAUAUAGUAGAUAAUGAACAAAAUAAAAAGUAAUUAUAUAUAAAUAUGACAAAUGGCAUUGUUUGUUAGUAACUUGUUAACAAGAGGGGUUGAUUUGAUGGUAAGCAAUCCCACUUCCAACUGAAAGGUUGUAAGUUCGAAUCUCUCAAGAGUAAGGUGAGAAGUUCUUGAAGGGAAGAAUGUCGGUGAUUUAUUUGGAAACAACCUCUCUAUCUCAAGGUAGAGGUAAUGUCUGAGUAUACACUACCCUCCCCAAACCCUACUAAAUGGAAUUAUACUUUAUUGUUAUUGUUAGUGAGUUGUUCAUAUUUUACACUAUUGAUAGUUUGAUACUGCUUACGAAAAUAUUCACAUAUGCUACUACCUCACUCCACGAAAAUCUUACUUUGUACUUGCCAAGUUUUAAUUGGAAUCCUCUGUUGUACAACGUGAAUAUAGUCUUUUAAUGGAUUAUGCUACUAUUUUCGCAAGCCAACUUUGUUUCUAUUAUUUUUUGUUUUGUUUUUCCCCUUAUAUUUUUUUAUAAUCAAGAAAUCUUUAAGGACUAGUAACAUAGGAUGUGAAACUCUGUGAAUGAUCGGACUUAUUUUUUAUUUAAGUACGAAAUAAUUAUUUAUAACAAAGUCUGAACAGAUAAUGCGCUUAACCCACACUUCACAAAUUACGUUUUUUUUUCAACCAGCUCAGAUUAAGAAUUGAUAUGUAAGACAUCAUUUUCAAUAUGAUAUUUCUUCAAUCUUAAUUCUUACUUUUGAACUAGCUAAUUUGAAAAUGUAGUUAACUAUUUUUUGGGUUUAGUUCUUUUUAUUUAAAAAAAUUGAAACUUCACAUCAACAUAAAAAGAAUUAAAAUUGUAUAACUUGAACUCUACAUAAUCCUAUCAGAUCACAGAAAUAUUUGUUUUUUAAUGAGCUUUAUAGUUAAACCGUAUAGAAAUAAUAAUGAAAAUAAAUUAGAUGUGCAAAACUGCAUGAAAAUAUAAUUACAUAAAUUAUUCUCAUUUAACCUUAAUGAAGAAUAAUUUCAAAAUUAUCUCAGUUACUCUCAACAAAAGAAACAUGACAAUAACUUAGAUGAAAGAAUAGUUUCAAAAUUAUCUCAGUUACUCUCAACAAGGGAAACGUGACAAUUAUUUAAUGGAGAGACUACUUAUUUCUUUUUUCCCUAUUUUUAGUUUGCAAUUUUUGUUUUUUGGUCCUUUUCUUGAUUUGGUUUACUUUUGCAAAGACCCGUGCCUUCAUUUAAUAUGAUCCAGUCUAUCUUCGACUAUAAAUGGCUUAGCUAUUAAUUACUAAUAAAUCACCGAAAAAUGGAAAGCAAGUUAGUAAUUAGUUUUUUUUAAAAUUAAUUACUAUAAUUAUAAGAACACGUGAACCAUUAAAUGCUAGUAUCAAAUAGUUUCCAAGAUAUAUUCCAAUAUCUGCUUUAUAGUAAUUGUCUAAUUGCCUUGAUUAAAGGAGACUAGCGCCAUUACGGUUAAUUCCAAUAAAUAAUUCAAAUAAAAAAUAUUUCUUUCAUUAAAGCAAAAAAAAGAAAAAGCAUUGCAGAUGUAAGAUUGUUCCUAUACAAUCCCCGAAAUUGCUCCAUUGACUUAGUUGUUUGGAUAAUUCAUUGUUAUUAGUAAAUAAAUUUCUUUAAGAAUUUUAGAGAAUUAAAAAGGCAGCUCGCAGAGGCGGAUCCAAAAUUUAAGUUUAUGGGUUUCUACGACUUUGAAUUAAUAUAUUAUAAUAAACGGACUAAAGAAUUAGAUUCCCAACUAAAUAUUCUUAUACAUUGAAUGAUUUUUCAAUACAAAUACGGAAUUUAGCCAAAAGCUACUGGAUUCCCGGGAACCCAUACUUACACCUUUAGAUGCGCCCCUGACAGCCUGAUGCACUAAGUUCUUACUAUAUGUGGGGUCAGGAAAAGGACCGGACAACAAGAGUAUAUCGUAAGCAGUCUUACUAAGGAUUUUAGCGAAUUAUUUAAGGUUAUUUAUCAUUAGUAUGUAGGAACACUCAAUAAUAUAACAUUUUGAACUAUGGUAUAAGCUUCAUCAUCCGAGGAAAAGAGCCCGGAUCACCAGUUAAGAUAGAGGCGGAUCGACGAAAGGAGAAAAAAUAUAUUAAGUGGGAAUCGAUCGAUGUAUUUUUAGGUAAAUAACUCUAUAGUCAGCCAAAUGCACCAUUCAUUUUUUGUGAAGCAUGUGUGCCAAUAAAUGAUAUUAGACCUAUUCUAAAGAAUAUAUACAUAAAAUACUUAAUUUGACGAAAAAAUCAUAAAUUUAUGUGUUCCAUACAAGAUCCUAUAAAUUCGCUCCUGAGUUAAGACCUCUAGAUGACCGCUUAGUAAUAAAGGAGAUAGGGUGUAAAGACAGCCAAAAGAUUAUCUAGCAAGUAUAUCUAAAAGAAUGCGUAAUAAUUUAGUGAUCAAACGCUCUUAUGUCAAAGAUGGACGUGACUAAGAGAUCCUACCGAAGCUUUGGGAUAUCAAAAUACAUCGACAAAUUAUACAAAUAAAACCAAAUCUCUCAUACUAUAACAAAUGUAAAUUACACAACGGCAAAAUUCUGAUUUUCAUUGUAGUUCUAUACCUAUGUAAUUCAAAUCUUUAAAAAAAUGGUUCAAAGAAAGGGAUAAGGGGUGACAUCAUAUUUCGUGAGAACAAAAAGCAACGCGGUCCCCCUCCACCAAACCACACGCCGUCGUUUUAUCAGUUAUUAGUUGUCUCUCUAAUUCUCCCUCCUUUUGCUUCUCUCUAUCUAUUGUCGUCUUCUGUCACUCUCACAAUCUCUCUCUACUAGCUUUGCUCCAGCGAACUACAAUUCUCACUCUCACAUUUCUCUACUCCCCCUUUCUCUCUCACACAUUAACACCCUUACUGUGUGAACUUACCAUUUCAACUCCCAAAAAAAAUAAAGUUCAUUGCUUUACGUGUUUUUUUAGCUGUUCUUGAAAUUAUCAAACUGACCCACUUGAAAAACCCUAACAAAAAUCAGAUCCAACUCACGUUUUAGACACCCAUUUCACUAAAUCUUGGUUAGUUUUGUAGUUUAAAAAGCUAUGCAUUCAUAGGGCUUAAAAAUGGCUAGCUCUGACCCGAAUAAGAAACCACGGCCCGGUCCAUGGCCACCCGCUCCGGAAUCUGCUGCAAUGCCACCUUCUUCUUGGGCUAAAAAGACUGGGUUUCGCCCCAAAUUCUCUGGUGAGACCAAUGCUAGUGAUUCUGGGCAAAUUGGGUUACAACAACCACAGUCUUCUCAGCCAACCCGUAGGAGAGAGUCCGACCCGAAUUUGGAUCUUGAAGCGGGUCGAGCUAGGCCUCCUAGACAGGAUAAAGCUAAUGGGGAAACUACAAGUGAAAAAGAUAAGCCUGUGAGGAAAAGGAGAGACUCUGAUGGUGGUGGGGGUGGGGUGAAUAAGAGUACUAAUGGACAAGCAGCUGGUACUACCACUGCUACUGCUGAGCCAGCUGCUGCAGCUACUACGGUUCAGCAGACGACUCGAAGAGCUUCUGGGAACGAAGAGCCUGUGGAUGUGUUGCCACAAACAGUUGAUGAUGAUGAUGGUUUUAUGUCUAGGCAUUCUCAAAUGAAAUAUGAGCUUAGAGAUACUCCUGGUCUUGGUGAGACCUUAUGCUUCAUUAUCUUUAUUUGAAUAUGUGCCAUUGUGUCCGGCCAACUUGCACGUUGACUAGUACACCUCGCAGCAGCCUACAUUGCAACUGAAUUAUUAUUUGAAUAUGUUAGUUACAUGGGCUUUGAUGAUUCAUAGUCGACCCCAACUAAUUUCACCGAAUUUUUUGUUGAAUAUGUUAGUUACAUGGACAUUGAUAUAGCCAACCCAACAUGUUUAGGAUUGAGACGUAGUAGUAGUUGUUGUAUGUUAGUUUAUCCAGAAAAAGCUACACAUGUUUCACUGAAUUGCUUGUUAAUAGGAUAAUGCGUUGCUAUGUGUUUGUGUUUUGGUAUUUUUUAUGUUUUGAGCAUGUAACUGCAAUAUUGAGUCUUGCUAAAUGUGAUUAGGUUGAAAUUGAGAUGAGUUACACCCGUUUAUUUGCAAAGAUUUAAUCUUUUAAUUAAUUGAAAAAGCUAUGUUGCGUAUUUCACUGAAUUGCUUGUUGAUAGAUAAUGAGUUGCUAUUUGUUUGUGUUUUUGAUAUUUUUUCUUCUUUUGAGCAAUGAGAAUGUAACUGCAAUAUUGGAUAUUGUUAAAUGUGAUUAGGUCGAAUACGGGAUGAGAUACACCUGUUCGUGUGAAAAGAUAUAAUCUUUUAGUCUAACUGUGAGAUUAUUGAUGCGUGUUCAUAUGUUGCAGUUCCUAUUGGACUCUAUGGAUUUCAACAUUAUCUUUCAAUGUUGGGAUCGUUGAUACUAAUUCCUCUUGUGAUAGUUCCAGCAAUGGGUGGUGACCAUGUGAGUACUUUAUUUUUGUUCUUAUUUUAUUUAAUACAAUAUUAGUUUUGUUUUAUUUCUGUUUUUAUUUAACUGAUGUGAACUGAUAAAAGUUAGUACUUAUAGGAGGAUACAUCAAAUGUCGUCUCCACUGUGCUCUUUGUCUCAGGAGUGACGACGCUGUUGCACACAUCAUUUGGCUCGAGAUUGCCUCUAAUACAGGGCCCUUCAUUUGUAUAUCUUGCUCCUGCACUUGCAAUAAUUCAUUCCCCAGAGUUCUUAGGAUUGAAUGGAAAUGUAUGUUUCAACACUCCUUUUUGCUAUGUUAUUGAGUAGUAUUUUACAAGGGUCCAUAUGUAUAUGUGGUUCUGGCAUCCCACAAAAUCUUAUUGAGUAGCGAAAACAUUCCUCUUCACCUAAAAUGAGGUAUGCUGCUUUAAAUGUUGAAUUUGUGGUUCAGUACUGCAGUUACUAAAUGUUUCACUUUAAGCAUCUAGUUAGCAGCGUACCUUUUUCUGUCUGUAAUGAAUUGUCAUACAAUAACCUGUGUGGCUUCAUGUACCUCAUAAGUCAAGCAGUGUUAAUUUCUUUGGGAUGUGGCUCUUACGAUAGUUUCCUUUUGAAAAAGGGAAAAUCUUUUUUGAGGGAUCUUACAUGAGUACUCUAUUUUUCUUCAAGAAGCCAAUAUGAAUCAUUGUUAACUUGCAAAGCAUCUUGUUAGACAGAGUUUGAUUUCUCUCACUUUUAUUUUUUGCUUUCCAUAUCUCUCUUGCUUUCAGUCUUUGCUAAACUAGCCUUGGUCGUUUGCUUUGAUUCUUGUCCCAUCACUGACUUCAACUGUAGCACUAAUUGUUGAUCAAUCACUUUGUCUUGUAAGUAGUUAUUUAUGUCAAAACUAUUGUAAUAAGAAGGUUUCCAACCUGCAGAAUUUCAAGCAUAUCAUGAAGGAGUUGCAGGGAGCUAUAAUAAUUUCUUCAGCUUUUCAAGCAAUGCUUGGAUACAGUGGGCUGAUGUCAGUAUUUUUGAGGUAAGAAAUUCUUGACCGACAUUUUUUUUUUAAUGUUUUCUUCUUUGUUCUCAUGCUAUGCUGCCAAUUCAUGCUUUCUUAGAUAUGCAGCUGAUAUCUGGAGCCUCAUGUGGAUUCUAAUAAAAAUGAGUAUUAAAGGAAAAUGGCAAUAUCUCGAUAAGAAAUUCUUGACCGACAUUUUUUUUUCAAGCAAUGCUUGGAUACAGUGGGCUGAUGUCAGUAUUUUUGAGGUAAGAAAUUCUUGACCGACAUUUUUUUUUUAAUGUUUUCUUCUUUGUUCUCAUGCUAUGCUGCCAAUUCAUGCUUUCUUAGAUAUGCAGCUGAUAUCUGGAGCCUCAUGUGGAUUCUAAUAAAAAUGAGUAUUAAAGGAAAAUGGCAAUAUCUCGACUGUCUUAUGAUGCUAUAUGAUGUUAGGGGAAAUGUAGCUUUAGUUUUAACUGAGUACAAUCGAGAGUGAUCUUUUGGGUGUUAAUUGAGUGACAAUCAUCGUCUUUUAACAUCUUUAGCGGGUCUAGUAGUUUAGAUUGGCUAGCCACCUAUUUCCUGCGGAGGUAAUUCCUUCACCUCCCCCCGUUCCCUUUCUGCCUUCUUAGCCAUUAUAUGUAUACCAUGGUUAUGGAGGGGCCCAUUUUAGUUUGACAGGUCCUAUAUCAUUCUUGUUUUUUUAUUGUGAAGGAUCAUUCUUGUUUAGUUGCCUUUCAAGCUGCUGUCUUUUUAACAGUCCGUAUGUUGGAUUCUUAAAGGAGCGGCAUAUUAUCUAUUCAAUUAGGGGUUUUCUCGCAAAUGAGGAUCCAUAAAGUAAUGACAGUGUUGUGAUGUUAUGUUACUUGGCUUCAAAACUGAAGGAGGAUUACCUGAUCCAAAGACACUGGUUACAGAAAUGUUCAAAAUAUUAAAAGCUCAAGGACCAACAGUCUUUGGUGUAAAGUGGUUGAAUUGAAUAGGACACGCUAAUAGAACUGUCACUAUCAUAUUUUUUAGUUGAUUCUCAAUUUUGUACUUAUUGAUGGUGUGCUAUCAUUAAUAAAGCUUCUAGAAACUCUGUGUCAUGAUUAAUAAUGUGGCUCAACUAUCAUACCAAAAGAUUAAGUAGUCCAAGUUUCAAAAAGUUAAAGGUUUAUGCCCAGAAUGAACUGCUGCACAUUUCUUUUUUUCGGAUAAGGAAGAAGCUUUAAUGACAGAAAUGACAUAGUGUUUAGGGUUCAAAGUCUUUUUUUAAAGUAAUAAUUAAAAUUAAAAAAACUAGGGUUCAAAGCUUACACCCUGAAGUAGUAAAAAACGGCUGGAGGAUAUGGGGACCAUAUGUAAGUUCUGCCUCCCUCCUGAUUUACUAUAACAUAUUUAGCAAAUCGACCAUCUAUCGAGUGUAGAAGUUUGUGAUUUGAUACAUAGGAAAAUGUGACUAAUGACAUCAGAACAGUAGUAGGAGGAGAAAAAGAGGAUAUAAUAACAUUUACGCCUCAGUCCCAAACAAGUUGGGUCAGCUAUAUGAAUCCAGCUAUAUGAAUCCUCACUUACCAUGUUACUCCAUUUAAAUCAUUCAUGCCAAUAUUAUGCAAAUUCAAAUGAAGCGUAUUAGAAAUUCUGUAUAUUUUCUAGAUGUAUAACAUCUAGAAAGAUUAAACCACUUGUAUAACAUGAGUUCUCAAAUUGCCUAUACAGAUCUUUUUCUUCCCUUGUGCCCUAUCUUUGGUUAAGUGAAGACAAGUCUGCAUGGAUCCCCAGAAUUUGUAGGUCCUGCAAGACAACUUCCUACCAUGUGAUUUUAUCUCUACCUUGUCCUAGCAACUUUGAGCAAGGAUUGUGCUAUCUGUACCGGAACCACAGACAGUAUAGCAGCAUUUCUAGCAGCAUGCACUACUCAACCCGGGAAAGCUGUAUAUUUUGCAUGCUUAUUUCUGUUGGUUUAAUAUGUAUAAUGAGAAAGGUGAAGCUGAUACCUUGAGCACUUGGGAUAAAACUAGCAUUGCGUAGCUGAUAUAUAUAAUAGUUUUAUCGUGCAGUCGACCAAGUAUUCUUUUGGUGUGGGUUACUCGUAAACUCUUCUGACCAUAUGUAUGGGGAAUCUCUAUCACAUCGUUGUCUACUAUAUUUAUUAUGCUAACGGUUCUUUUUACAGAGAGGCGGGGAUAAGAAGUUAUUUCGGUUAGCUAAAGCAAGGGAAAGGAAGGCACGUGAUCUAGACCAAGUUAGGUGUAUCAAGGGCGAGGAUGGUAGAGUUCUGAUGGGGGAAUCUCAAAUCAAACAGAGGUGGCAGGUGUACUUUCGGGACUUACUUAACGAGAAGGGGAUCGUAACAUAGAGCUAGGGGAGCUGGGGCAUUCAGAGCAACAUAGAGACCAUGGAUACUGCAUUAGGGUGGAGGAGGUCAUGGGGCUUUGCGUAGGAUGAGUAGGGGUCGAGCGACUGGGCCUGACGAGAUCCCGGUGGAGUU
RNAcentral lists this long non-coding RNA (77027 nucleotides) under Nicotiana benthamiana. RNAcentral's name for it is "long non-coding RNA (NBEN_LNC026647)". The record is from RNAcentral. Lineage: Eukaryota; Viridiplantae; Streptophyta; Magnoliopsida; Solanales; Solanaceae.